AGAAAACCUCAGGUGCAAUGUAGCCCAAAGUUCCCCUGGCUGCAGUCAUCGACACCGUGCUCUGAUUUUUCGGACACAACUUGGCUAGUCCAAAAUCAGUGAUUUUUGGGACAAAAAGGUUAUCUAGCAAAACAUUGUGAGGAUUGAUGUCAAAGUGAAGAAUUCUAUGAUCACAGCCGAGGUGGAGAUACUCAAUUCCUCUGCCAACACCAAGAGCAAUUUGUUGCAACUUCUCCCAACCAAGGAAAACAUCCUUGUUGUCCGCUGGAGCCAAGAAUCUCUGCAACGACCCAUUUGGAAAGAAAUCGUAGACGAGAGCACGGUGGAACUCAUCUGCGCAGAAACCAAGCAGACGAACAAUGUGAACGUGAUGAAUUUUCCCAAUGGCCCUCACUUCAUUUAUGAAAUCCUUCCCAUCUCCCACUGUGUCUUUGAGUAUCUUCACAGCAACAAGAAUUUCACGAGAGAGCAUUCCUUUGAACACUGCUCCAUGAGAUCCUUCCCCUAAACUCUCACUAAAACCAUUUGUGAUUCUCUUGAUGUCAGCGUAAGUGAACCUGGUAGGCUUCAUUGCCCUGUAAUCCUCCAAGAAUUUCUCUAUUCGAGUCUGGUCUUCUCCUCUCUUUUCAUAAUAGUCAUACGCAUAAAACAAUGCCUUGACCAGUAGCAGCAAAAGUAUCAAACCAACUACUCCCCCUGUUGGUGAGAAAAUAAGUUAAACAAAUGAGGUUGUUGGAAUCAACAAAAUAGCAAAACCAUAACAUAAUAAUCACUGUAAUACUGCACACCUGCAGCAAUGUGGAUGAAAGCUGACGUGGGAAUCCUUUUUGUUCGGCAAGCAUAACAUUCAGUUCCACCGUUAGUACCAUUCCUCCAUUUACAUUUUUGGCCCUGUGCUUCACAGUAUCCACAGUCAGGUUUUGACCAUUCCAUAACUAACUUCACCCCAUUAUACCAAUACAACCAUUCGACGGAAACAUCUUUCAGCUUCGUGCAGGAUACUAAUCGAGGAUCAACAACGUCGUUGUGGGAUUCUAGUAGCGAAAUAGGGCACGACAAUGAGUCGCAACAGAAGAAGGAAACGUCAAACUUAGGAGGAGGACGACCAAGACUUUUGGGGAAUCGGAAUGGAGAGAUGGAUGCAUUGCCGAGUUUCAAGAGUUGAUCGGGAAGGCAAUUUUGGGGGUCAUAUAUUUCAAUUAGCGUAGAUUCGUAAUCAAUUUCUCUGACAAACAAUUGUAUCGGAAGUGCAGGCAGCUCCAGAAUGGGCUCAUUUUGUUGGGUGCAUAACAGACCGAACUCAGGCGGGUAGUCGGUGGUGUGAUUCAAGUUUUUAUUUCUGAGAUAAAAUGGAAAUUGAAUGCGAACGUUGCCACAUUUAUCAGCGCAGUGGUUAUUGCCGGUCGCAGGAUUCCCUACCAGAAACAGCAGCGUCCAUAGAAGAGACAGCUUCUGAAAAUUAAGCAUGUUGAUUUGCAGUUUCAUGUUAUUUUCUUGUCAUAUCAUGUUUAACAUGGCCGGAUUGCGCCGGCUGGAUGUACCAGAAACUCCGCCUUGUCUUACUGGUAAGUGAAUUCAAUGAUUUAUUGGUCUGGAUUUUCUUUUUUUAAGAAGAAAAUGCCAAGACGUGGUAUAAUUUUACAUGAACAAGCUAGAUAGGGAAAUAACCCGCCUUUUCCUGUCCUGUGCCUUGUGUUUUUGGUGGGAUUAAUUAACAUGAUAUUUAUAGUGGAUCGUCUUACUCUUUUAAAUUUACUUUUUAUUAAAAAUCAAAUUUCAAGAUAUUAAAAAUUUUUAAAUGAAUAAGCUAGUCUAAUAAUCCGUGUGAAUAACCUUACAAAUAAUUUUUCAAGACUAUUGUUAAAAAUUCAAUAAUUUGGUUGAAUAAUAUUGGUAAUGUAUUAAAUGUGAUUAAUAUACAUAUAGAUAAGUACAUAUUAUUUAAAUUGCUAAAACGCGAAUGUAGAAAAUAAUUAAGAGUAGUAGUGAUUUUUAAAAGAUAACAUUUGAUUAUUUUAUUAUUUAAAAAGUUAAUAUUAUAAAUAUAAUUUUUUAUUAGUUGAGUUUUAUUUAAAAGAAUUAUAAUCUUUUUAAAACCUUUUUCUAAACUCUUUUUUACAUUCUCUUUAUAUCUCUUACUUCAUCCUUUAUUUGUUUGAAGAUUGAGUAUAUAAUAGGACUUCUGACAUUGAGGUUUAUAAUCGUACCAUAUCAAAAUUUUGAAAGUAAGUUCAUCUUUUACUUUUUCCUUGAGUCUUGAAUAAAUUUGUUGCAUGUGGGGGUUAUGAAUUUGUAUACGAUGUUAAAGGGUUCAAGGUGAAUUUCUGUUUGGUUAUGAUUGUAAUGGUGUGUUCUAAUCGUUGAUUAGAGUUCUUUGUGGACACAUAGAGCAAUGUGUGUGAUAAAGCUUGUCUAGAGCACCUUUUGAGUUUAGGAGCAUCUAUCACGAAAGAGAAGCUAGUAAAUUAUAAUAUAGCUAAUUAAAUUUAAUUGGUUGUUAGAAGCAUGGUUUGAUUGAUCAUGAUAAAUCUGUGAUUCUCAAUCACUAGAUUUAGUAUACAUUUUAAAAUUAAAUACUAUCUAAAGUUUAAAAAUAAGAAAUGGUAAUUAAAUUUUAAAAAAUAUAUACAAUAUUACAAUUAGUAAUCCCAAAUGUAGGUUGGAGGGAAUGAAGAACUAUAGGAAAGACUACUAGAGGAGAGGGACACCAAGAGAGGGAAGAAUGAAGAGGGAAACACUAAAGAAAGGAGAAAACUAAAGGCAUGUGUGACAAACUUAGUGAGCAUAAAGGAAUGACCAAUGAACAACAAUAAUCAACAUGGAGACCACCAACAACAACAUGAACCCAGGCACCAUCACUAGCAUGUGAACAAGAACACCAGUAGUACACACACUAGCCAUAGUAAGGGCAUCAACAUUAACCCCCAUAAUGACACAAAUGCAAACCACAAGUGAAGUACUUGAAAAACACUAGAGGGGGGGGGGGGNGAAUAGUGUUAAUGAAAAAAUUCUUUUUGCAACCCUUUUGAUAUAGCAAUUCUCGAGCUUUAUGAUUUCUUUUACAUGUUUAGAUGCUCGACCUAAUAAAGGAUUAUAACAAGAAAUGUUUUUGUCGUGUUAUUCAAAAUGUACUUUGUAGAGUUUAUAAGAACUUCCUAUAUUCAAGAGUAAUCGUUUAGCUUGGAAGGUUCUUGUAUUUUAGAAAUGAAACACAACUACAAGUUUUUUAAGAGAAACCUUUAAUUAAGAGAAGAAGUGAAUGCACAAAUAUUUUAUAUUGGUUCGCUCCACCUGAGCUACAUCAAGUCUUCUCCGCAAAGAGUUCCACUAUAAUCUUCAACAAGAUUAGAACUGAGUAUUCUCACCGUUCCUGGUCUCGGUCAACGAAUAACCACCUGUUACCCUAAACUAGAUGAGUAUUCUCACAACUCCUGGUUUCAGUCACAAUACAUGCACAAUAGGUCCUGUUCUAAGUGUUGGAACGUAAUCGAAAUUAUAAUUGUUUUCACAUAAAAUAUUAAAACAAAUACUAAAUUAAAAUAAAAGUAGUGAUAAUUAGAUUCAUCCAAGAAAACAAAAGAAUGUUAUAGGAAUGAAUGCCCAAACAUCAAUACUCAUAACACAUUAGGAUUAAGUGAGAAAACAAAUAAAAAAUCAUUAAAUCAAAUACAAGUUUAAGAAAAAAAAAAGAAAAUAUUCAAUAACAACUUAAUAAAAUUGAUCAUAUUUAAAAGAAAUAAAAAAAAACUAAUUAAUUAUAUGUAAUAUUUAAGUAUAUUUAAUUUUAAUAAUUAAUCCUAUAAAUGAUCAUCUAUAUAUAACUUAAUAUUUAUUUCAUUCAAUCAAACUUUAUAAUCAUUUCAAAAAGAUGAUUUAAUUUUCCCUAAUAGGUUUCAAUUUCAAGAAAUACGAAGUUUUUCAAAAUGUAGUGAUAUUUUUUUAAUUAUAAGUAUAGGCUUUCAGUUCUAAAAUAGCUAAAGCCUAUACUUUGACCUCAUGGUAUAGAGGAAUCGAAGCUUGUACUUGUGAGAGGUCAAGGUAUGCACUUUGAUUAUCUUAGAACUAAAGUUUUUGUAAAUGAUUUCAAAAAUAUUACUACUUUUUUGAAAGGUUUUACCAUAGGUUUCAAAGUAUAGGCUUCAGUUUAGGUUAAAUCGAAGCCUAUACCCUAGCAACAAGAGACUAGGCUUUGAUUAUUUCAUAUUUACCUCCACUAUAGUCCUUGUUUUUAGAAAAUGGGUUUAAGCCUAACUCAACCCCACAAAACUGGCUUGUAAGGUGAGGUUUGCACCCCACUUAUAUAUAUUAUAAAUUGGUCUUAUCUUUAGUCAAUGUGAGACUUCCAAUACACCCCGUUCACGCCGAGGUAUAGACAUCUCGUGCGUGAUAGUAUAAAUUGGAUGGUCCAAUAGCUGAUCGACAACAAGUGGAAUAAAAAUGUCCAAGAAACAAGAAAUGUCUAGGAUAUGCUUCAACCAGGCUCUGAUACCAUAUUACAAAGUGAGUUUAAGUCUAACUCAACCCUACAAAACCGGCUUGUAAGGUGAGAUUUGCACCCCACUUAUGUAAUAUAAAUUGGUCUUAUCUCUAGUCGAUGUAUGUGGAACUUCCAAAACUUGUUGAUUUUCAUUUUUGUAUUCAUUAUCGCAUAUCUUCCUUCUCGUUUCUUGUUUAUCUUUUUUUCGUUCUUAUUUUUCUCUUCCUUCUCCUAAUGAUGUUUGUCUUUUGGUUUUGGUGUUGUCAGUGCAUUUUGGUGGUCAUUGUCAUCUUUUUGCAUUAAGACAUUGCAACAUUACAUGUUUGUGUUUGUCUUGAUUUAUUGCGCUUGAGAUACCACAUGAUUAUUGUUGUGUUGAUUGUUGGUUCGAGUUUGAACAAUUAGUUUUGGUCACUUUCACUCUAAUUUUUUUCUUGCUUUCGUUUGAGUGAGACAUACUGCUUUUAUCUUUGUUUAAUUGUUUUAUGUUUUGGUUGUAUUACCAACCAAAAUCUAUUCCUAAAGUACAAACUUUAUAUUAAAACUUAAACUCUAAAAUAUAUAUGUAAUUUAUAACAAAAUAUAUAUAUGUUUAUUGUAACAAAAAUAAAAUAACCAAAAAAAUCAAUACUAAAACUUUUCGUUAUACUAAUACAUGUAAUUUAUAUCAAAAUGAAAAUAAAUAAAUAAAUAAAGAACGAACCCCAAUUUUGACAUGUGAAAACAAUUUUUAUUUUAUCCUCCUCGAGUAACAAUUUACCCUUUUCUUUAUAUAUAUAUAUAUAUAUAUAUAUGAAAUUCUUAUCUUACCUACAUCCAAAUAUUUAUUAAACAAUCUUUUUACAUAAAAUAAGUCUUAACAAAGAUAUAAAACGGUAGUAAUAAUAAUAAUAUAAAUAUCAAAUACAAAAUAGAAAUAAUAAUAAUAAUAAUAAUAAUAAUAAUAAUAUAAAUAUCAAACAAAAAUAUAAGUAAUAAUGAAAUAAAAAUUAAAUAAUUAGAAAAAAUAAAAAUAAUUAAAUAUAAAAUUAUACAAGUUAUUAAAUUAAAUAUUAAAUAAAAGUUAAUAUAAUUUUCUUAAAUUAUAUGAUAAAUUAAAAAAAAUAGUAAUUUAAAGGAAGAGGAUUAAAGGGAUAUAACGAGCUACACAUAUAUAAUCGAUUUAAAAAAUCAACCAUCAUUUAUUAAUAAUUUGAGGUAGUAGUCCGGCCAUUGGUAAUAUUUAAGUGUCAUUUCCUCCAAUUUGAGGAGAAGAGAUAACAAUGUCUGUUUUACCUUGUUGCAGUCGCUGCGCACAAUUGGUGGUUCUCUCUAUGGCCACCAUUCUCCUGCUAUUCCACCAAACUUGCUGCGCCAAGCAUGGCACAUCCUGUCCAUCUUCUUCGUGCGGCGAAAUUCGCCACAUAAAACAUCCAUUCCGACUGAAAGACGACCCUCGCGGUUGCGGCCUUCCCCGGUAUGAAUUUGAUUGCGUGAAUAACAGAACAUUGGUUACACUGUUUUCAGGGAAAUACUUUGUGGAGGAAAUCAAUUACGAUAGGUACCAAAUCCGACUGAUUGAUCCAGGUGUUGUGGAGGACACUUCUUGCUCGUUUCCUCGCUAUUUCUUGUACACACAAAAUUUCAGUGCACCUGACAAUGAUAGGCUGAUUACUUUGUCCGGGGAUGAGUAUGGGUAUAAGCCUGCAAAAGUAGUGUUUCUAAACUGUAGUUACCGAGUGAGUGAUGAUCCUCGAUAUGUGAAAGUGAAAUCCGGCGGCGGUUGUGAUUCCGGAGGCUAUACCUACGCCGUGCUGGAUCGCGGUGAGGAGUUUGAUCCGGAAUUUACAGUGAUGGACGUGAAGCCCGGAUGCAGAUUAAAGGUUGCUACCUUCCUAAACUGGACACAUGGCAGUGAUGUUUCCUAUAGAGAGUGGACACAUGACAGGAACGUUUCCUAUGCUGAUAUCCUUAAAUCUCUGGAAGAAGGAUUUUGGUUAACUUGGUUACCAGUUGUCUGUAGGCAUUAUUGUGGAGUUGGUAUCUCUUGCUUCCUCGAUCAAACCACGCAACAAAUUCAAUGCAUAGGUUGUCGUAAGUUCAAUUACUAUGUCAGCAAUUGUGGUGAGAUUUGUUCUUCGCCUCUUAUCGUCUUCAUUUAUCAUUAUUUUUUUCUAAAUUUCUAAACUUUAUAAAACUACAAAUAUGAAUAAAUUGUGUUUUGAUUAAAAAAACUUUGUUUCAAAACAUCACUUUCCAUAACACGGUGAAGGUGUUCAGACUACCACUUUCUUAUAUUUUUUUAAAAAUUAAACUUAUAGUGUGAAACAUAAUUCACUUAAAAAAACGUAGAAAUCAGAUUUUUUUUUUAAAAUAAUCUGUUUAUAAAAAUAUCUAUGUUCAAAAUCUCUAUUUAUUUAUUUCCAGUAAUUGUUUUAAAAUUUACUAAUCUUUGUUAAAAAUAUUUACCUGAAUUAGAAAAAGAUAUACACUUUAUGGUGUUAACAUUUCAACUUCUUAUAUUUUUAAAAUUAAAAAAUUAUUUUGUAAAACGAAACCUCAGUUUAGAAAAAUAGAAAGUAAAAUUAUAUUUUAAAACUACGUAUAUUUUAAAACACAUCUUAUUUAUUUGUAAAAUUUUUAAAAUGUACUAAUUUCCUAAAUUAUUAACGUUGAAAAUCCUAGAUAAAAUUUUAUUCAUUUCAAGAUAAGCUUCAAGUUUAAUUUUGGGUAGCACAUAAUUGAAUAUAAAAUUAAAUAAUAAUGAUGCUUCUAGAUAUUUGAAAAAAAAAAACAUAUAUUUAAGGUUGAACUAAAUUUCAGUUACCUUUAAAAUUUGAUAUGCUGGAGUGAAUUAUUUUUUAAUUUAUAUGUAAAUAAUAUAAUAUUUAAAUUUAGAUUUUUAUCUGUAUAUAAAUAUUUUCUUUUUAUUAUUUUAGGAACUCUAUCACUAAUUGAAGGAUACCUUACAGGUACGCGUACUAAACCAUAUGUCAUCAUGAGAAUUCAAACUAAUUUUAAUUUUAAGUAAUUCAAAUAAAUUAUAUUUGAGUUUCAUAAAAGAGAAAUUUUACAAAUUAAUAUACAUGACUUGCAAACUAUAUAUUUACACGUGUCUUCCUAAAAAUUUUACAUCUAUUUGUCUUUCUAAAAUUUUUACAUGUCUCUUCUAAACGUAUCCUUCGGAAUGAUUGAUUAAACAUACCUAAGGAUGUCUUAUAUUAACAAGAAUUUGAAGUAUUGAAUCUGAAAACAUGCAUUUAAAUUAAAAUUAUUGUAGUAUAUAUACACACACAAUAUCGAUACAUUAUUAAAUAAUUAUAUAUUUAUAUCAUUGUAAACUGGGUUGUAUAAAAGAAGUGAAAUAAUGUUUUUAAACUUUUAGUUAAUUACUAAAACCUCCAAAAAAUUUCCUUGUAAUUAACACAUAAUGUAAAAAAUAAACUAAGAAAACAUAAAGAAUUUAUAAUAGAAAUAAUCAAGGAUAUAAAACAACUCUUUUUGAUGAAUGUUUUUAAAAAAAAUUACUAGUAAGAGCUUUUACCAUGAUUUUACCAAUUGUCUUCAAUUGGGAAAAUCUUUAAAAAGACUUAUGAAGAAAAUCAUUUACUUUUUUUUUAUAGAAUUCUUCUAAAGCUUUAGAACUUGAUUAGAAAUGUUUAAAACUUGUUCACCUAAAUUCCUAUAAAACAAUUGCUUAAAAAUACUGUAUUUUAAGAAAUUAAAAUUUUAGAUUGAAUUUUAUUUAGAUUUGAAUUAGAAAAACAAUUGUUAUUUUUUUUUAAUUGAAAAAAAAAACUUGUAAAUAAGUGAGUCAUUGAGCCAACCCGUUUAACCCACCAGUUCGUAGUGAGCUAGAUUGGGUUUAAAUUUUUUCAACUCACUAAUAUAUGAACCAGAGUAAAUUGAUUUACUAUCACUACUGCAGAAAACGCUUUAGACGUCUGUUAUUUUGGCCUUUUAACGACGUCUGUGUGGGUGCCGUUAAUAAAAGGUCGGACUGGAGAAGACCGAUGUUUAUAUAAAUGUCGGAUGUGGCAUUAACCGACAUCUACUGGGUGUUUUUUUUAAAAAUUAAUUUAUUUUUACAAUAAAACCACACAUGAAAAAUAGUUAGUAAACCAAUUAAGUAAACUAAUUAAGUAAACUUUAAUGAACUUUUACAUAAAACAACACAUACCCAUCAAUGUAUGACACAAGGUAUACGUCUUUAUUUGACUCAGCCAUCCAUGUUUGCAAAUAAUAUUGUUUUCUUUCAAGUGUGUUACCAGAAGGUUGAAUAGUUUGAGGUUCAAAAAAUCCGUACAUGGAAGACCGACCUUGGUCUAUAGUUACUAUGUCCAUGUACCUAAAACAACAAAGUUAAGUUUUUAGAAACUAGGAAUCUAAAUAAAACUAAUAUGGAAGACAAAAUUAACUAUCUUACAUGCACCAUAGUUGAAGGAUGGAAAUAUUCAACAUCUUGUCUCCCCUAAUUAUCUCCAAUGCAUCAUUGAAUGUGAUAUAUACUGACUCAUGGAGGGGAGGGGGGGGGGGGGGGCAGACCAAAUACUCUUAAAUCCCAGUAUAUUUCUACUGAUCCUCUAUUGAAGCUGGGUAAUCUUUUCAUUAGCUUUGAUAGAGGAUCAUCCUCCGCUUCAGCAAUCUCAUUAUCUUCAUCUAUGACUGACUCAUGUCUCGGCUGCUUCUGAGGACGUGUGAACUGAUGAUAAGAAUUUCAAAGUUAUCAAUAAAUAUUUUUAAAUUUAACAUAGAAAUACUAAUAAUAAAAAUAUUAUACCUGUGGAGUAGCAAUGUGUGACAUGAUCAAUGCUCUAGGCCAGGCUAUAAAUGAUCCUAUCGCCUCCCCCACAAAAUGAAUUUCUGGAGUGGGUACAUGCACCUAAGCUUGGGGAUCCCGAACCUCAUCAAUCGUCACACGAAGGGGGUGGGAUAAUAUGGGAACACCAGGAAUAGUCUGCCCUCCCUCAAGUACUCGUCCGACAACCACAAUGCGUGGGGGAUCCCCAUCAACCAACAGCUUAUACUGACCACCAUACUUAGUAGGUUCUACAGAAGAGCAUGAUCCUCUAGUGAUGAUACGAGGUGUUGUGGGAGCUUCAGUGGGCAAAUCCAUGGUGCCCUGAGUCAUGGAAUGCAGCUUCUCUUCAAGCGCUCUUUGUAUUUCUUUUUGUUCUUGUAAGUUGCUCCAUGAACCGUUGCUCCAUUGAUCUCAUGCUUUGGUCGAGUCUUUCCUUCCACUGAAGAUCCAUCUGUCUUAGUGCCUCUUGACUCAUUGAUUGAGUGUUUUUUUGUGUAGGGUCAAAGUAGUCACGAAGACUAAUCGCCCCAGGAACUCCACGUACACGUCUUGGGUGCUCGGGCUUUUCAAUGGUUGUUGUUAGAAUGUCGUCCCUACCUUGGCUAGCAAAUGUUCCCUGAAUUUGCUGCUCAACUAACUCAUCCUACACAUAAAAAAAAACUUUGUUACUUAAAAGACAUACAAUGAUAAAUACACAUUCAAACAAUGUUUAGAAUUUGAACUUACAAUUCUUUGUGAGAUCAAGGCAACCGAGGAAGAUGUCAUGUUCCCAUCAGAUUUAGUCCGAGCAAGCUUCCACAGCUCGUACCUAGCAGGUGUAUGUGCUAGGUCGGGGGACUCAAUGCCAAGUCCAAACGGUAUAAGUUCUCAUUAUGCCGAACAUGAAUAAAUGGUCACGCAUAUUGCCUAAGUCUUGCCAUAUUUGAUUAAGACAACGAACACAAGGACAAAAAUAUGUCUCGUUCACAGACUUUGCAUUUUAUUGAACAUAUUGCAAGAACACUGAAACACACUUCUGAUAUUCUUCACUAAUGUGACGUUCAUUCAUCUAACUUCGAUCCUACUAUGUUCGUAACAUACUUCAUCAGUUUCAAUUUUUUAACUCUCACAAGGUUAGGCCCUGCUUAUUCAGAAAAAUUAUUUUUCAUAAAUUGCUAAGACACAUGGAAAGAAGUCUACAUCAUAAAUUUGAUAAGAUUUCGACAACAUUUCGCAUUGGUCUCUGAAUACACAAAAUGAGAGUAGUCAAGGAUGACCACAAUCAAAUAUGCAUCCGGAGAACAACACAAAUACUGAACCAAAUUUUAUGAAUCUUGUCCAUAAACUCCAACAUACAUGUUAUAGCAAAUUAUGAAAAAUAAUUUUUCCAAACUGUCCAAUCGGACAAUUCAAAAUUUAAUCCAAACGAUUAAAAGAUUAGUCGUUUGUGUUAAAUUUCAAACAGGAACUAAGUUUCACUCAAUGAUUUGAUACUUAUAAUUUAACAUGCCAAUUAUAAUAACACAACUAAACUUUAUCACAUGCAUAUAUUAAAAAGCCAAUAACACAUGCAUACCUAAAAGCCAAAAACAUGCAUACGCAAAAGCCAAAAAAAUGCAUACACAAAAGCCAAUAACUUGCGUACAAAAUAAGUUUUCAACAAAGAAGCUAACCUUUUUAGCAUAUUAAAAUAGCAAUGGAGGGAAAUGAAGGAGUGCAUGCCCAAAAACGCAUGCCAGAAAGGGUAAAAAAUGCAGCCCAAGAACACGCUAGAAACUGCACCAAAACGCAACAAAAACAAAUUUUAAUUGGUUCAAAUGGAAGAUAUUUCAUCAAAGAGUAAUUUAAUUGGAGUAAAAGCAAAUUUAAACGGUCCAAAAGAGAGAAAACACACUUGGAAAGCAAUGGCUCAGAGAGAAAAGUGCGAGGAAGAAGACGAUGAAUAGUGGUAACUGCUCACGGGUUCGCGUUUUGCAAUUUAAGAGGCUAUAGACUUCGGGUCGAAGGGGGACCGACAUCUAUAAUAGUAUAAAUGUCGGCGCCUUAGCUAAUAUGACGUCUUUAUGAUUUAAAAAUUAAUAUUUGAGGGGCAUAUAAACGUCGGUUACUAGGGGCACCGACGUCUAAUUGAACUUUUCACCUACCUAUCAAGCGUAUAGACGUCAGUUACAGGGGGGUCGACGUCUAUAAUCGUCUAUAGACGUCGGGGUGGCGGGAUCCGACGUCUAUAUGGCGAAAAAGAAUGACUAUUCACCUACCUGUCAGACAUAUAGACUUCGGUUAGGGGGGGCGAUGUCUAUAAUAUUAUAGACGUCGAGCCCUCCCUAACCGACGUAUAUAAUGUCAAUUUAUUUACGAAAAUGUCAUCGGUUAAUAAUUUAUGUUGGAUAUUCUCUAGUGUGACAUUUAAGAGGUGACGUUAAAAACCAAUUCUGUACUAAUACAUGUGACUCAUGACAUAGGUCGAAUCAAAUUUAGUUAGGUAACUAGUUUUAACAACACUACUUAAACAACAAAAACUUGAAAGGGAAAGAAGAUUUCUACACAUCUCUCUUUAGUAUUAAUUCAUCAUUUAAGCAACCAAUUCAGACUUAUAAAACAAGUGUUUAAGUUUAAAUUAACCAACUCGGAAUUACUUUUUUUAUAAUUUUUUCAGUAUGACUAAAAUCCCAUUCACACUACACUCAUGAUAUAUUACUUAUUAUAUUUUACAAGUUUCAACGUCUACGAAGUACCAUUCAUUUACUUAAAUAAAAGGUUAUUAGAAUAUUAAUAAAAAUUCUAACUAAACAUAAUAUUGAGUUAUACAUAAACGCAUCUAAAACAAUCCUAUAAGAAGUAAUAAAAAACUCAAAAGGAACCGACAACAUACUCUAUAUUAAAAAAUUAGAGAAUAGUUCGUUACAUAACCUGCUAAUCAUUUAUGAGAUUAUAAUAGAAUCAACAAAGACACGUAACUUUCCAUGUGGAAGGUACUGUUAGAGAUAAUAAAAAAUAAAAGCAAAAACAGUGAAUGAGAUAGAGAUCGAAGUGGACGAUAUAUUGAUGAGGUGAUGAUGGAUUCAUCUUACAACUCAUUAUUGCUCGCUUUUUAUAGAAGUUUCUAAGUUGAUUAGUUGCUACUUCGAUUUGUUAUUUCUCAUGUUUCUCGUAAUCAUUAAUUGUAAAUGUUGAAGCUCUUAGCCUCACUUACUUUUGUCCAUGUUGGCAUAUUUGAAAAAAAUUUCAAGGGAUUAAACUCAAUUUCAAUUUGUUCAAUAUUUAGUAUAAAUAAUAAUAUUUUUUAAUAAAAAGUGUCACGAACUUUGCUCAAAAUAAUGACCAAAACAACAACUUUUAUUUUUAGAAAGAGAAUCACCAUGCCUAGUUUAUGUCAAAUAAUAGGUAUAGACAAGGUGAUCCAGACAAGCCAGUCUCCAUCAACACUGCAAAAAUUUGUCGAUAAUAACUAUUUUUCGACAGAUUAUCGAUAAAUUGAAAUUUAUUAGUAAAAAUGUUAUCGAUAAGAUUUAUUGACGGAUACCAACCGUUGGUAAUAACAAAAGGAUAUGUCCAUCAAUAAUUUCUGAGGGAUAUACUUCUCAGUAAAUUCUUUGACUCAGUAUGGGACAUUACUAAUGGAUUUAUCUGUUCAUAAAUUUUAUUGAUAAAUAAUGUGACAGUUUCUAGAGCAUUGGAUUAUAUUUCCUUACCAUACAAGCAUCUUGGACAUAAACAUUAAAAAUUCAACAAAACUAAUAAUGCUAACCAGACAAUAAAAAUCCAAACAAACCUUAAUACAAUACCACACAAACAUCACAAACAUGUUUAUAAUGUAAUUCAGAUAAACAUAAAAGUUUUAAAAGUAUGUUUAUAUGUAACAGAGUCCUAAUAAUCUACAUAUCCAUCAUAUAUGUUGAAAUCCUUUCUAGCCACAAGCUUUUUGUCAUGGAAUUUCUUGGUUUCCUCCUUAUAGAACUUGGAGUUUUCAUAGGUUGUGAGCCUAAUCUCCUCUAGUUCUUGUAAUUGAAGUUUUCGUUCUUUCUUUGCUUCCUCCAUUGCAAAGUUACAAGCUUUUAUAUCCUAAUAAGCUCGAUCUUGAAUCUCUACAUGUAAAUGGUGAGCCUCUCCAAAAAUAACCAUGAAAGGUGACAUGCCUUUAUGUGCUUUAUAACUCAUCUUAUGUGCCUAAAGUGCAUCAUCCAAUUGAGCAACCCAACCCUUUCUAUUUGGCUUUACCAACUUUUGCAAUUUCUUUUUGAUUUCUCUGUUAAAGACCUCGACUUGUCAUUUAGUUUGGGAAUGACAUGGUGUAGCAAUGUGAUAUGUCAUCACAUAUUUCUUUAACAUAUUCUCUAACAACUUAUUGCAAAAGUGGGUCUUCUAAUCACUAGCAAGAGCUCGUGGAAUUCCAAACCUACAAAAAAUGUUAGACUUGACAAAACUCAUAACAACCCGAGUAUCAUUAGUCCUUGUAGCUAUAACUUCCACCCACUUGAAAACAUAGUCUACAAUAAGUAAAAUAUAAGAAGACCUAUAAGAAGAAAGAAAAAGCCCCAUAAAGUCAAUACUCAAAUAUCAAAUACCUCACAAUAUAGCAUGGACUAUUGAGGCGCCUCUACCCUUCUUGUGAUAGAGUUGGCUACUCUUUGACAUUGCUCACAAUUUUCGUAUACCUUUUGUGCAUAUUUAAAUAUGGUAGUCCAAUAUAAUGCACAAUCCAACACCUUCCUUUUUGUUCUUUCUGUGUCGUAGUUUCCACUAAAAGGUGAUGUAUGACAAAAUUCAAGCACAUAAGGUAUCUCAAUGUCUGGGACACACCCUUUUAUAACUUGGUCACUACCAAUGAGCCAUAAGAAUGGUUCAUCCAAUACAUAGUACCUUGCAUCACUUUUCAGCUUGGUCCUAUUAGAUUUGGAGAAAGAUGAAGGAAUAGCAAAAACAACCAAAUAGUUAAUAAUGUUGGAAAACCAAGGUUCAAGACACAUACGUUUUACAAUGGUCACAACUAGUAGGACUUCAUGAAAGUCAUCUUGAAUAGUAGUGUCAUCUUCCUUUUCAGUCCUACUAAGAUGAUCAACUACUAGGUUAUGUGCCCUACUUCUGUCUUGAAUCUCAAUGUCAAACUCUUGGAAUAGUAGCAUCCAUCUAAUCAACCUUAGUUUGAAAUAUGCUUUCUUUAAAAGGAACUUUAAUGCAACAUGAUCAGUAUAAACAAUUACAUUAGAACCAAGUAUGUACGAUAUUAAUUUAUGUAAGGAAAUACAACAACUAGUAAUUCCUUCUUGAUUGUGGUAUAAUUAGCUUGUGUAGUUUCGAAUGUAUGGUAAGCAUAAUAUAUUACAUGUGGUAGCUUCCCAUCUCGUUGUGCAAGUAUCGCUUCCAUUGCAAAUUUUCAUGCAUCAGACAUCUCUCGAAUGAUAACGUCUAGUUAGGUCAUUGGAUGAUGGAAGUGGUGGUGAGCACCCUUUUUAGGGUAUCAAAAGCAUCUUUUGCACUUCUCUCCAAAGUCAACAAGUACAUCCUUUUGAAGUAAGUUAGAGAAGGAUUAACUAUCUUAAACCUCCUAUAAAAACUUGCAUGUCUAAGAAAAUAUCGAACGUCUUGUACAUAAGAGGGGUAAGAAAUCUGUGAAAUAAUAUCAAUUUUAGCAGGGUCUACAAAUAUACCAUUCCUAGAAACAACGUGACCCAAAACUAUACCUUAUUCUACUGUAAAAUUAUACUUUUCAAAAUUAAAAACAAGGUUAGUUACCAUAAACAAUUAUCAAAAGAUGAACCAUACAUUAUGAAGUCAUCCAUAAAAACCUCAAUGAAAUAUUCCAACAAAUCUGUAAAAAUACUCAACAUACAUCACUGAAAUGUUCCAACAGCAUUGCAAAGGCCAAAUGGUAUUUAUCGAUAAACAUAUGUAUGGAAAGGACAAGUAAAAGUAGUCUUAUGUUAAUUUUUCGAGACUAUACAAAUUUGAAAAUACCCAGAGAGUCCAUCUAGAAAGCAAUCCUGGCUAUUUCUCUCUUGUGGUUUCUAAUGACCUGGAAAAAUUGUUAUUCUUGCUCAUUAGUAAGUAAUGCAAGUAUAAUAAUAGGGAGUUUAUCAUCUCUCUCAAGAUAAGCAUAUUUAAAAUGAGAUGGUAAAGGUUUUAACCCCAAAUUGGGUGGUGGUACCACAAAUGAUAACAUUUACUAUCUAAGGUAAUCUCAGCCACCUUAGCAUCACACUUGGAUGCUACAUAGGUAUCAUGUAUUGACUUCAUGUCCAUAAGAUCACCUCUUAUGAAAAAAAAAAAUUGCCUUCCAAAGUUGUGUAUGAGAUUUUCGAAAAGGAAAAAUCCAAAGAUGAAGAAAAAGUUGAAAAAACGUCUAAGAAACUAAAAGAAAAUUUGUUUACAACACUUAAUAAAUCAAUGCAUAAUAGAGAAUGGUCUUCUAUCGAGUGCUUCCAAUACGUUAAACUACACCUUCUCAUCUCCUAUCUCCAUAGUCAAUGAUCUCACAUGCAGAUCUAUCUUGAUUCGUGUUGUCAUCCUUCAUAGCCAAGAUGUAGAAAUUUUCAGGAAAAAUUAACUUUUUGGGUUAACUGUAUUAUGGUUGAUUGUAGGGUUAAUUGUGUUAUGGUUGACCAGUUGAAUGACCACACCGAUAGUCUUGAUAAGUCCUAGAGAUAGAGAAGUAAACACUAAUAAAUGCAAAACAUUUAUAGAAGCUCCUAAAUCUAGCAUGGCAUUGUCAAACUUUGAACUUUCAAUAACACAAGAAAAAGAAAACAUACUUGGAUCCUUGCAUUUUUGUGGUAUUUCAAUAUGUUUCUUAAUCAAGCUUAACACAUUUCUUCCUAAGUUUACAACGUCAUUAUCCCUAAUAUGCCCUCUAUUUUUACAAAGUUUUUUAAAAAACUCGGCGUGUUUUGAGAUUUGUUUUACAACAUCUAAUAAAGGGAUGUUGAUCUCCACCUUUUUGAAAGUAUUCAAUAUUUCUUUUUCUAAUUUCUCCAUUUUCUUAUUUAUUGGUUUCAACCGAUUUAGAUAUAGAGAAGGAGGAGAAUAAGAAUUCUCAGAAGAAGAGUUAGAGGAUGCUAACUUGGAGUCAUCGGUGGCCGUCUCAAGUGUAGCUUGUGAUGGUUCACUUGAUCCUCCACUUUUAUCACUGUACGUGUCUUCGUUCUCCUUAUUUGCAUCCUCUUGGGCUUCUUCAGGGCCUUGUAUUUUCUUACUCGUUCUUAAAGUAAUAACACUUACAUUUUGCGGGCAAAUCAUAGGUUGUGCAGACAAUUGAUUUGACUCUUUAGCAAAGUUAGCUUUCAUUUUAUCCAUCCUCUGAUUCACUUCUUCAACCGCUUUCUUCAUUUCUGCAUUUUUCUCAAGCAUCAUCUUUAUAAAAUCUUGUAGCGUCAUAUCUGGUUGAGAUUGCUGCCACAAUUGAGGUGGGACAUAUGGUUGUUUGUGUUGUUAUUUUUGUUGUUAUGAUUGUUGUUACCUAUUUGAGGGAUAAGUCGUAAUUAUUAUGAGAUGGUUUAUUACCACCAAACAUUUUUACAAAAGCUUAAGAUGGUUCCUCCACUGUAGUUUCUUCUAAGUUGGGACAUUCACUAGCAUAAUGGUCGAUUGAAGUGCAAAUUUCACAUACCCUAGCAACUUGUGGAGUUGAAGUCUUAAAGAAACUUGCAAUCUCGUUAAGCUUUCUCUCUAGUCCAUUUAAUCUUUCAUUUAUCUUCUUUCUAUUUACUGCACUCAUGAAUUCCUUUUAAAAAGGUCACUGAAUUCUCUUGUUUCAAAAUGUUGGUUGUUUGAUACCUUUUGUUCUAUAAGCUCUCCAACAUUUUUUGGCAAUUUUUCUAGGAAAGAUCCUCCGCUCGCAGCAUCUGCUCACACCUUGUAUGACGAAUUCAAGCCCUUAUAAAAGUUUUGAAUGAGGGAAUGUUCCUUUAUAUGAUGUUAAGGUUAGGGAACACAAAGUUUGUUGAUUCUCUCCCAAUACUUAGUAAGAGUUUCUCUACCUCUUUCCUUAAUUCCAAGAAUCUCUCUAUGGAUGACAGACUCUUGGGAUGUAGGGAAAUGUUUCUCAAAGAAAAGUCUUUCAGUAGUUUCCUAAUUGGUAAUUCUUUUUGAGAGAUAGUACCACCCAUCUUGAGCUGCUCCUUGAAGACUAAAAGGAAAAGCUCUAAUUUUUAGGUUUUCUAAUGUGAUCCCUUGAGAUCUAAAGUUUUCACAUAGGGUAUGAAACUAUCUCAAGUGUUUAUGUGGAUUCUUCCCUGAUAACUAAUUGAAUUUUGGCAAGGCAUUUUGUAGGCCAGUUCUUAACUCACCCUCAUCAUUUGGAUAUUCAAUGUUAUUGCAUAUGACUGUAUUGUGAGAGGUGGAUAACUAUUUAAUGCUCUUUGAGCCAUUAUGUUUGGGUCAAGAUCAGGUGAAGGAUCAAAGGGUAUAUUUAUAACUGGAGAAGAUGAAGGUGGUAUAGUUUCUGUAAUGGCUUCAGAUGUUGAAGAUGCUUCCUCAGUAGAAAUCCCAAUUUUCAAACUUUUUCUAAUGUUACAUAAGUUCUAUUCAACUUUUGAGUCAAUUUGAUAAACUUCUUCCAGUUUGGUUCGAGUCAUGCACUACGCAAUCCGACUGAAGUUGUUCUUCUAUUCUUGACUUUUUUUCCCCUUUGUUAUUGUUUCAAAGGAAGAUUUCAAAUAAGAAAUAAGUAAGAUGUUGUUAGGUCCACUCCCAAAAAAGAGAGAUGUGUCACAAUAGACAAAUUAAGUACCAUGUCUUUUGUAAUAGAUUAUUCUCCAACUAAUCUCAAGUAUUCCUCAAGAGAAAUUUGUAAUCAAAACAAAAGGGAAGACUUUGCUAGCAAAUUCAAAACUAACUAAAGAUUAAAAAACUUAAACUAAAUUAAAUGUAUUUACAUUAAAAAUGAAAAUAAAAAUAAAAAUAAGAAUUAAAAUAUUAAAAAUACUAACCGUAUUACGUCUAAUUUGAUAUGUUCCCAUUCCCAUUAUCAAAUUACUAUUACUUAAUAUUUAAAUAAAGAUAAUCUUUUUUAUUCUGAAUAAUUAUUUUAGUUUAAAACAAUGCUUCAGUUUAAAAAAAUAUCAAAUUGAAAAGAAAGGUUUUUAAAAAAGUGUAAGAUAAAAUUGGUAAAAUAAUUAUUUUAUUUUCAAAAUAAUUACAUAUUAAUAUAAUUAAAAAAAUUACAUGUAUACACAAUUUCUUUUACAAUAUGGUAUAGAUUAAAAAAAAUUAAAUAUUCAAAUUAUUAAUAUUACUUUACUUUCAUUUGAACAUGUCAUAACUUUAAUUCAAAAUGUCAAAAUUCAUAUCAUUGUAUAAUAUUUAAUACUGUGAUAUAAAUUUAAUAUAAAAUUCGUCAACUGUUUCUUUAUAAAAUAUAUUCGAUUACUUAAUCUGAACAUUUAUACAUAUUUAAAAAAUACAUCAUAUUUGUGCAAUAUUUGUUUCAAGAGUUUUAAAUAUUAAGUGUUCUUUUGUCUUGAUUUUAUGCAUAUUUUUUUAAUUAAUAUUUAAUAGCAGUUUUUUAUUUGCAGGUUUUUUUAUUGGUAUUAUAGAAGGUAAUGGGUGUUAUUUAUUUCUAAUUAUAUAUUUAUGUUAGUCGAGUUAUUAGAGCAAUAUAUAUUUAUGUUCAUACAUUUCAAAUUUUGAGUUAAUCUUAACUUGACAGGAUUGCUUCAUAGAAUAAAUAUCAUCAAACAAUCGUGGAACUGGAAUGUGUUGAGAUUGGGAGUAUUUAUUGGCGAAGAUAUUCUACCAAUAUUUAUAAUAACUAGAUAUUUAUUUGUACUCUUACUUUUUCUAGUGCUAAUCAUCUAUAAAUGGCGAAGAAGACAUUUUUCAAUGUAUGAAAACAUUGAAAAUUUUUUGUUAGAAAACAGUAUAAAUCCCAUUAGAUAUGAGUACCGAGCGGUGAAGAAAAUGACUAAAGGUUUUAAAGUGAAGUUAGGAGAAGGAGGUUUUGGUUCUGUGUACAAAGGAAAGCUUCGAAGUGGGUUAGAUGUUGCAGUAAAGAUGUUGAGCAAAUCUAAGGAUAAUGGUCAAGAAUUUGUUAAUGAAGUAGCUACCAUUGGAAGAAUACACCAUGUGAAUGUGGUAGGUCUUAUUGGAUAUUGUGUUGAGGGAAAAAAGCGUGGCUUAAUUUAUGAAUACAUGUCUAAUGGGUCAUUGGAUAAAUACAUUUUCUCUAAAGAAGGAAGUGUUCUUUUGAGUUAUGAGAAGAUAUAUGAAAUAUCUCUUGGAAUUGCUCAUGGAAUAGCAUAUCUACAUCAAGGCUGUGAUGUGCAGAUUUUACAUUUCGACAUCAAGCCUCAUAAUAUUCUGUUAGAUGAUAACUUUACUCCAAAGGUUUCAGAUUUUGGACUUGCAAAAUUGUAUCCUACAAAAGACAAAUCCAUUAUUUUGACUGCAAUAAGAGGAACAUUGGGUUAUAUGGCUCCAGAAUUAUUCUACAAAAAUGUAGGUGGAGUUUCUUAUAAAGCUGAUGUCUAUAGUUUUGGAAUGCUUUUGAUGGAAAUGGCAAGUAGGAGGAAAAACUCAAAUCCUUUAGCAGAACAUUCAAGCCAACAUUAUUUUCCAUUUUGGAUUCAUGAUCAAUUUAAAGAAGAGAAAGAUAUUGACAUGAAAGAUGCUUCAGAAAUGGAUAAGAUUCUAAUGAAAAAAAUGUUCAUAGUGGCACUUUGGUGUAUACAAUUUAAACCAAAUGAUCGUCCAUCAAUGAAUAAGGUUGUAGAGAUGCUUGAAGGAAAAGUUGAAACUCUUGAAAUUCCUCCAAAACCUACAUUUUAUCUUCAAGAAAUAUUAGAACAUGAUGAUACAGUCUACUCUGAUGAAACACCAAGGAGUGAUUCAACUAGUUCUGUGAAUGUUGAUGCAAACAUGUCUAAUCACUAAUAUUUUGGAAUAACAUUAAUUAUUACAAUGGAUAAGUUUGUAUUUUAAAAUUGAGGCUCGUGGAUUAUAUAUUGUUGGUUUAAAAUUAUGUUCAUGCUCUUUUAUGAUUUUAUAAUGUGUCUAUGUGAUAUGCUAUAUUUUUAGUUUUAAUUUAAACUCUUAUCUUUAAAUAUUAAAUUGUCUUUUAAAAAUCAAGAAUAGUUUUCUGCAUAAUUUAGAAUUAAUUUUGCUAAUAACUUAAAUAUAUUAGUCAUUAAAAAUUAUCAUAAAACAAUUCACUUAUUUAUUACAUCUAAAAGAUUAAUAUACAUUAUUUGGGGAUAAGGGUAAUGUGGAUAUGGAUGGGGCAAUAUGUAAGGGAAAGGGGGAAAAACAUGAGGUGAGAUGCAAAGCGAAAAGGUGGUGUGGCGUGCUAUGCCACGAGGUAGGGAAAAAGAAGAUGAGAUUCUUGAGAUAUGGUGAUAAAUGCUAGAACCAAGUAGACAAUGACUAGUCCUUCAAAAGUUUAAGCUUCCAUUAUAAAUAAAAAAAACCAUGACAGUAAAAAAAAAAUUAAGUCUAUGAUAUCAAUUUCAAUAGCAACUUGUUAUAAACUUUGUCAGAUUUAAAAUAAUUAUUUAAUUUUGAAAAUAUAUGAUAGUGGUUCUUUCCAAGAAACUAGGCAAAUAGGUUGCUAUUGUUAUUUCUUUUGAAAUGAAUAUUUUGGAAAAACUAGCCGACACUAAAUUUUAUUUUUAAUCAUUUCGAACAUCUUAUUUUUACAGGAAUUUUUCAAUUAGGUUCUUGUAUUAUAAAAUCUUUCAAUUAGGUUUCUAAAUAUGAAAAAUUACAUCAAUUUAAACUUUGCUGUUAAUUUGAAUGAACGACAUACAUCAAUUUAUCAAAUUUUAUUGACGUGGCAUAAAGUAUUGUAUAAAAUUUAAUUAUAAAAAUUGUAUUAUAUUAAAUUUAAUUAUAAAAAUUGGAAUAAAGUAUUGUCUUGUUCUUUGUUGGGCGUCCUCUUCUGAUAAGGUUUUGACAAGGGACAAAAUGGUGACGUUUGAGGUGGAGUAAGGGGCGAGGGAGCAGAUCGAGACCGGAUCGGGGGUUGCGUGUGAGGUUCAUAGAGCCGAAGUUGUCGGUGGCGUGUCCAGUUGUUUGGAGGAGCAUGAUGACGAGUUUCCCUGAUUGGUUGGAUUUUCAACGAUGAGUCUGAACCAUUCUACCGGCAAGGAUGAUCAUGGAAUCCACGCAGAUUUUGAUUACUCGACGCCAAUGGUCGCUAUCUCUUUUAUUCAAUUAAAUUUCUUUUAUAUCUAUCAUGUGACUGAAACCCCUAAUUUUGCAUCAAAUAUAACAUUUUUGUUUGUUUUGGUGAAAUCUCAGGCGUGGAGGACGAUGAGUGCGAUGACAAGGAGUGGCGGUACUUCGAAGAUACUGUGCCUUUCAAUGACGACGGUGUUUUGGAUACCGAGGUAGUGGUACUUGUUGAGGAAACUCAGUUAUUUGAUGGCGAUGACGACAUUUUGGAAACGAAGUGAUGAACCUCGCUAGUGAAACUCAGGCGUUGGGGUGAUGGUGAGACACAGUUGCUGGACGAAGUGUGUGAAUUUGAUAGAACACAAGUUUUGGAGAAUGCUGAUGAUGAUGAGCUUUUUGUUGAUAGUGACAAUGGUGAAGUAGAUAACAGAAAGGGUAAAUCGUGGCAGCGAAACCGUUCUAGUGAGUGAGUGAGUCAAUUCCAAUUUUCCUUCUAAUUUUUUCCUUGGGUAAGUUGUUUGGGAGCUGCUUGAUAGCCCUUGCUCUGUUUUGAUUUAAUGUGCAGAAAGAAAGCGGGUCCAUGGCAGGAAGUUGUGAAAUAAUAUGUUUUGUUUACUGUUUUGUAAGAGAACACGAUUGGGUCUCUCUCUUUUUAGAGAUUAAAGACACAAGCUCUUCAUCAUCGUUGAUUUCACACUCACCGCCGUUCCCAUCCAAAUCUUCAUUGUAGGUGUCAUGCUCUUCGUAGUUGAAGUCCUCGGCAAGUGAAUGAGCAUCACAUGCCCCCACUUUUCUUUCAUUUAAAAAUUACAAACCUCUCCUGAUUAAUAUCGUGAGUGUGCGGAAUUAGUUGUUUGGUCAGCAUGCCACGUCAGUAAAAUUUGAUAAUGUUACCUUAUUACGCACAACAUUUUUUAACGUCGUCCACCCAAUUACGGACCUAAUCGAGAGAUUUUACAAUACGAGGACCUAAUUGAGAAAUUUUUGCAAAAAUAAAGAUAUUCGAAAUGAUUAAACUAUAAAAAAAAAACCAUGACAGUAAAAAAAAUAAUUUUAGGUCAUGAUAUCAUUUCAAUAGCAAGUGUUAUAAACUUUGUCAGAUUUUAAAUAAUUAUUUAAUUUUGAAAAUAUAUGACAGUGGUUCUCUCCAAGAAACUAGGCAAAUAGCCUAUUUUUUUUCUUUGGACUGACUGUGCGGGAAAGUGAAUAUUUUGGAAAAACUAGCCGACACUAAAUUUUAUUUUUAAUUUUAAAUAAUUAUUUAUUUUUAAGUAAAAUUAGUAGUUAUUUUUUUUCAUUUACAUAUAGAUUUAAUUUCAUUAUUUAUGAAUCAUGUCCUUCACAAAUUUUUCUGCUCUAACACCAAACUUAGAUAAGAAAGAAAUUUUUUUUCCUGUUACAUAUGAAAAACUCCAUAUAUAACUUACCUAUUCAAAUUCGUAUACAAAAUCUAUAUAUAAUACUUCAAUUAUCUAUAAAUUCAAAUUCAUAUAUAAAUAUCAAUAACACUAGUGCAAAAAUUGCUUAUAACGUCACACGGUCAAUGUCGAAACACCCAAUAUCCAAUGUUAAAAAUGACCGGUGGCAUUGCCGUAAAUAAAUUCAAUCGCUCCACGUCCUUUAUUGUAACAGUUCGCCGUCUAAUAUUUAUCAAAGUCAAACAAAGCCCACUUAGACGUAAUCUAUAAUAUGAUAACGUCAAACAAGGGCUAGAACGACGUAAAACAAUGACCUUAUAAUCACUUAACAUCAGAUUAAGAAACAUCUAACAUUCAAUUUAAAAUAAAAAAUAACGAAAUAGUGGUUUGCUUCCAGUAGUAUUACUCCUACCCAUAUUUGACAUCAACCGUACUAAAUAUUCAACGUUUUAUAUGCCAAAGAGUGAAUCCAUUUUUUAUUCUUUAUUUCUUUUCUUUUUUAAACCAAACAGAACGUCACCCAUUUUAUUGUUAGAUGUUUAUGCCAAUAUAGAACAUCGCAUAAUUUGGGGUUAGACGUGAUGGUCGUUGGCGUGCGAAACCUUAGUAAUCACAUAACUUCAGUUAAGGAAACAACUGACGUCCAAUACAAAAUAAAUAAAUAAAUACUAAAUUUUGAUGCAAAUAAUAUGACGUCAAAGAUAACAAAAGAUGGACGUUGUAUAUUACAGCUAGUAGUUAUUCUUUUAUUUUAUUUCUUAAAUCAACCAAUAAAACACCAGUUUUAAACUAGCAUCGACAUUUUAUUAUUUAGUUCCUUUUUUAUUAUUUUUUUCAUUUUCUUUUAUACCAACCACAACGUCCAAUUCUUUUACUAAUUCGACAUUUUUUUUCUAGAAAUUAUGUUUUUAUUUUUUCUUUUAAACCAACCGGUAAAACAUCCUUGUACUUGUGGCUUUAACGUUUUGAAAGGCUCCCAACAUGUUCGAAUUCUGUGUUAACUUUUUCUUUUUUUUCUAUCAAAUCGUUCUAGGUGACAAAAACGACUCAUUUCUUGUGGUUUGAUUCUUUGUUAUGUUGAAAAGCUUGAAGGAGUGAUUGACAGAAACAAAGAAGAGGUUAAUACAUUUGGAUUUGACAUCCUUUCAAAACUUUGCAACUUCCAUUCAUUUAAUUUCUCGUAACAAUCUGUUAGCUUUUUUCUUUGUUUUUCUAUCAACUCUUUCAAAAUCACAAAAGUUAUUCGAACACGUAAUGUUUAAAUAUAAUGUCGAACUGUUUUAUCAAUUUGAUGUUUUUUUGCCAGAAUUUUGUUUUUGUUUUAAACCAACAAAUAUAACAACAAAAAAAGAAGAACACAUAAUAAAACAAAACAAAACAAGGACAUCACAACUUAGUACUAUGACUUUAAGACCCUAUUCUUAUUCAGACGUCUUCCUAGAAUCUUCUUCAAUAGACUCUUCAUCAGAAUCCUCUAUUUCUGGAUUGUUAUUAAUCUCCUUCUGAUAGAGCACAUAUAAUGGGAAGAAGAAUUUAAACAACAGAAAUUUGGAAGAAAAAUAUUAAGAAGAUAAGUGUUUUUUCAAAAUCUGUAGAACCCCUGGAGGGGCAGAACUGCUUUUAUAACUUGAAGUUUCUUGAUUAUAUGAUUCAAUUUUUAAGUUUCAUGAAGUUGUUUUCUACAAAAUUAGUGGAUCUGAUUCGGAGAAAACAACUUAAUGAAACAUUAAAAAAUGUGUCAUUCAAUAACGAUCAAACUGUGUAAUUGUAUAGAGUUAAGAAUUAUAUUUAUAGAGUAAAUUCAAAACCUCUGGUAACAACACAAAAUUAAUGCUCACUACCAUUCCAAUGCCUUUCACGUCAAAGCCCCCUAGAAUUUGACGUUCUAUGGGAAUUUAAAAAGUAAAAAGUAAAAAAAAGAGCGACCAAUAUGUCAGAUGCUCAUGACAUUCAACGUUUAUUGUUGGAUUAUAAGAAAAAAGAAUUAAACCAAAAAAACACUUUGGAAGUCUGGAGAAAUUGACGUCAACCUCUUCGUUUCUCGCAGCAAACUGCAUUUCCGCAUAUAUCAUUUAAGUAGAAUGCCUUUUAUUAUUGAAUCCCAUAUGAGGCCCAUAUCAGGCCUUUCCCAACAGUAAUUAUUUAAGUGUAGACAUCCAUUUAUAAAAUUUCUUGUAACAACUCCAAGGUUUCUUUGUGUUAACUUUUUUCUUUGUGUUACUGUAGCUCCUUCUAGGUCACAAAACGGAGUCAUUUCUUUGUGGUUUGAUUCUGUCAUGAUGAAAAGUUUGAAAGAAUGUUAGUAACACAAAGAAAAAGGUUGAUACAUUUGGAUUUCGACCCUUUCAAAACGCUACAUCUUCCAUUCAUAAAAUUUCUCCUAUGAACUUCAUCUGUUAUUUUUUUUUCUUUUGUUUUCUGUUAUCUCCUUCAAGGACAUAAAAAAGCUGGAGUACAGAAAACAAACGAAAAAGGUUGAUAGAUUUGGAUUUCAAAUUUAGGACGUCGUAUAUUUUAAUAUUCGACGUGUUAUUGUAGGUUAAAAGGGAAAAAGAAAAUAAGAUAAGAAGAAAAAAUGGAGUGAUUUGGCUUCUGGAUGAACAAUAAAACGCAUGCCCCUAGUAUUUUGACGUAAUAUUAAUACAAUAGUUAUUAAUAACACAUCGAGUGGCUUUAUGACGUAUUAUAUUUGUUUUGAAAAAGAAGGAGCUUUGGUGUAUAGAGCAAUAACUGUUAUCCCAUAUUGAGUAUACUGAUGCAAUGUAAUCAUGUAACAUUAAAAUGGACAUUUGCAAUCAUAAAAGUGAUUUUAUCAUAUUUAAUCAAAUAUAAAAUUCAAUCACCAUUCACUAAUGUUUGCCAAAAGAGAAUUUCAUUAAUAUUCAAAAGAUGAUUACAACCAUCAAUACAAAAAGAUAGCUUAAGAAGCCACUGAUUAAAAAAUUAAAAUCAAACGACGAAUAUUCCUAUUCUUCUAUUGCACAAUUAUUGAUUAUCCCUUCUGGUUGUUCACAUCACCUUUCUUUCCACUUUGAUCGGUGAUUUUUAAAUCCUUAGAGUCUUUUGUCAAUGACUGUGCCAACUUUCAAUUUACAGAAGCCCCAAGAAUCUUGUAUGCGACACUGAUUACAAAAUUAAAAUCAAACACGAAAAUCCAUAUUCUUCUGUUGCAGUCAUCUUUCAAUAUACUUGAGCCGAAAGAACCUUUUUAGCGAUUCUGACAUACAAUUUAUUUUCACCGCAUACCAUUUAGCCCACUCAUCUUCUUCAAUUUUUGUCAAAUCUAUUUUGUUUGCACUCCAAGAUUCAGAGAUGAGAUAGACUUGCUGAUGACCAAUCCGUUUUUCAAAGAGAAAUCCUUCUUUCCCGAUCGGUUGAAAAACGGAAAUCCCAAUCCAAAACUUUAUAUCAACCCCCUUGAUUGUGGAACAAAAUGUUUCAUCGCUCAUCUUUAUGUUGGAGUAGAACACCCUCACCAGUUUCAAAUAUCUAUGAGAAACCACAGUUGUAAUCUGUUGAGAUUGUUGACAACAUAAUUUCUAUAUCAAUCUAGUUUUUUAUGAUGACAACACAUUGCGUAAUAACAUGCAUAUGUUGUUUGUUGUUAUUACAUGUUCUUAUGCAUAUUAAUUGUUAUAUAUGUUGAACAUGUUUGUGUACUGUGUUACAUGUUCCCAUGUUGAUUGGUUGAUAUAUAUCUGGAACGUGUUUAUAUGCUUUAUGUGUUAUCUGCUUUGCAUCAUUUAAUAUGUUUUACUACACAUAUUUUAAAGCUGAAAAACACAAGCACUUUUAUGAACUUUUAACUGUGUGACAAAGUUCUAGUACAGUCGAUAAAGUCUUUGUGCAGAUUUUGAGGAUCAGUGCUAUGUGUAUUUUUGAGAAGAAAAGAAUUUCAAAAUGUUUUACAUGGUUGAUGUCGACUAUGUGUUUUACAUAUUCAACUAUAUCUGUUGUCUGAUUUGGAAUUCUGUUAUGCUCUUGCACUUUAACGACUAUAUUUUUAAAAGUUAGUUGAGCAUUGAUGACUUGGUCAACUGUAUUGAAUUUGUUAUGUUUUUUGUUGACCGUGAGCUACUAUGUUGACUGAACUAUUAUAAUUGGUAUAAUAUAGUCAACUGAAUUAGUAGAACAUUCAACUGAGAAUCUGAUUGUAUAACAGAAAUAUAUAAAUAGACUGAACACAGGUUUGUUCAACGACUUUCGCUGAACUGACAAAUUUCAUUUCUGUUUCAGAUCUCUCAUAGCUCCAAGAAUUCUCCAAGAAGACAGUGGUGAUCUUUCUUGAACGAGAUUCAUUGAGGAGACAUUGUGCGCUUACACUUGUUGAUCAUUACGUGCACAAGAAAGGUGCUUCUGUUUGAUCGUGUUGAAGGCUGGGCAUCCUGUGAAGACUGUUGAAUUGUGAUCAAGGCUUGGCAUCCUAUGAAGACUAUUGGAAUUGUACCUGUUGUGAUACAGGGGGAUAAUGCACUUUGAGGAUUGUUCAAAGUGGUGUUGCAGAUUGUAGAAGAGGGGAUUCUUGCUGCAAUUCUUACAUUCUAGUCGACUCUAUUUUUAAUGCAGUCUACUACUUUUUUCCACUGCAUACAUUUUCUUAUUACUUGCAUUUCAAGAAAGUUUAAAAAGCUUUAUUCUUUGUUUUCAAGAUUGCGAAAAGAACAUAUUUUGAAAAAUCACCAAUUCAUCCCCCUCUUGGUGUAUAAAGAAGCCUACCUGUUUUUCAACAUAAUCUUCCUUACACUAAAAAGCUUCCCUCGAAUGUCUUCACCAUUAAUCCUCCCUGUAGGAUUAGCAUUCCUUGCAAUCCGAGCAACCUUCCCUUUUUUUUCUGGAUGAUGAAGAAGAAGGCAUUUCUGAUCAGAUUUUGGAACGUCUUUACAAGUUCUAGGGUUUGUUAUAGCUCUUCAGUCUAGAGAACAUUGAGUGCACAAUAGGUUGUCAAACCUAUUAUUUAUAUAGUUACACAUCAAAUCUUUUCAUUUUCAACGUCAAACAUCUUAAGGGAUGGACGCUUUACUAUGCAAUUCAACAAUUAUUGGAGUUAGCCUUUAAUCAAUGUUUCAUCAACGUUCAACUUUUGGCUCUCUGGCUUACAAUAAUACGUCGGAAAUAUCAAGCAACCGACGUACUAAAGGUGGUUUUUAAAUUGAAACGUCCAAGAAUUACAACUCUUCAUUUAUUGUUGAAUUAAAAAGGGAGUAACUCUUCAUUUAUUGUUGGAUUAAAAAUAAUAGGAAUUAAAAAGGGAGAAACUCUUUGGCUUUUGGUUGACAUAUAAUACGUCAAUCCCCACGUAAUCUUGGUGUUUUAAAAGAAAAAAGAAAAAGGAAUUAAAAAGGGAGAAACUCUUUGUCUUCUAGCUGAAAAAUAAUACGUCAAUCCCCAAAGAAUUCGAUGUAAUCUUGGUGGUUUAAAAGAAAAAAGAAAAAAGAAUUAAAAAGGGAGUAACUCUUUGGCUUCUGGCUCACAAUAAUAUGUCCAUGGCUCCAGAAAUGGAUGUACUAUUUGUGUUUUAAAAGAAAAAAAAAAAGAAUAUAAGAAUGGCAUGCUGGUUUAAAUAUUUACCGUCGAUGAAUGUCGAAUUUUAUGGGGCUUCGACAUUUUGAUUUAAACUUCCAAGUAUUUCAACUAUAGAACGUGAAGUUGUAAUGGUAUAGGACGUGUUAUUCUGAAGUUAUAUUGAAACUAAAUAUAUUUCUGACCUUAUAUUGAAACAGUAACCUUUCCCUAAACCUUUAAAUCCUAUUCUUAAAUGGCUUAUUCAUCUUCACGUUGUGGAAAGAAGGCUGCACAGGUUGUAAGAAAUGCUAGUCCAAAUGGGUGGAUAAGUGAUGACGAAACACGAUACAAAUUUGGAUGUUAUAGAAACUCUUCCAGGUGGUCCAUCACAAGAACUUGGAUCUGGAAUUAUUCAGAAAGCAAGGGUUUCUUUUUUAAGAUUUACUUGUAGAUGUUGGUCUUGCAAAAUUUGUAGAAAUGACCGGUGAUUGCUAUCGUGACUUGGUAGAAGUCUUCUACCAAAAUCUGAAGGUUGUCGAUGGUGUUAUAUGCUCGUGUCGAUAUUAAAAUUGGUGAUGAAAUAUGGUUAUCUUUUACUGGUCUCAAAGCACAAGGCUUUAGGUCUCAUGAAAGAAAUUUUGAACUCAACCAAUGGACCAACAAGAAGAAGAUUCAUAAGGAAGUUCUGAGAAAUCCAAAAGGGCUAAAGGUAUACAAGCCGUAUCUACUUGUUGAUUUGAAAAUGGAAGAAAAAUUGUGUGCUUUUUUACUUACUUGGGUAAUACUUCCUAGAAGAGGCAUACGUGAUCAUCUAACUACUGAAGAUUUAUUUUUGGUUCAUGCCAUAAAAACACGGAUACCAACCAACUAGGUUAUUGUUUUGAGUGAGCACAUGAUUGAAAUUGCAAGUAGGAAUGGACAUAAUCUGCCAUAUGGUGUUUUUAUCAACAGUGUAUUAAGCAUCAUCAAGUUGAUCUUACUGGUGAAAAAAAAAAAAUUGGAUGGACCAAAUCAAAUGAAAUAGGAAAAGCGGCAUUGACCUUUAAUAGUCUAAAGUAAACAAAAGAUGGUUGGGUGUUCAAGGAUGUUGACGAAACUCCUCCUACCUUCACUCCACAUACUGAGUUUGAAAGAUUUGUUAGGGAUCAAUUUCGAAGGCUUUUAACAAGAUCUUCAAAUGUUGAAAAUUCUUUAAUCAUGAUUCACAAAAAAUUACAUGAAGACAGUUUAAUUGAAACCACAACAAGUGAAUCUGAUGAUGAAGACGACACAACAGAAGAUGAGUCCAUGGAGACCUCUGACUCAGAUUAGGAAGAAAAGUCCAUUUUACUUUAUUUUUCUUAAAUUAAUGUAAUAUUUUAAUAUAUUUUAGUAUUUUUUUUCAAUGUUUGAACUAUGUUUGAAAUUUUAGUAUAUACUUUCCGUGGUUAUAUUUUCAUAUUUUUCCUAUAUUUGGAGUUAUUAUGCUUUUCUUAUGUUUUUGUUUGGUUUAAACCCUCAUUGGUAUAUUUGGUGUUAAUAUGCUUUUCUUAUGUUUUUGUUUAGUUUAAACCCUCGUUGGUCCUCAAUUGUUUUCUAAUGUUAACAUGAGCUGACCUGUAAUUUGUUUUUACUUAAAGUGGCAUUGUGCAUUAAAUUCAAUGUGAUCCAAAUUGUUUUAUGUUCGUGUUCGUCUUGGGGAAGAAGGGGUUCUCGAAGCACUGUGCAACUGAGGAAAUGUCUUAUUCAUCUUCGUCUUGCAAGUGUUUUUGGUUCGGACAUCCAACACAGUAGUGCCAAUGUUAGGAGAUUGGCUGUAAAACACACUUUCUUCUGUGGUCACAUUGCAUCUUUUCGCAUUGCGAGAACCCCUAAAAACAAGGGCAAAAAAUUCUAGGGUUGCCUAACUUCAAGGUCAGUUUAAUAUAAGUAUAAAUGUUUGUUUAUUUUUGUGGGUUUUGAUGAGGGGGUGUACAUAUUGUCGUUGGCUACAACUUCUUUCACUGGUGCAGUGAAGAAGCAAUAGAAGAAGGAAAUGUGUUGUAUGUAGAAGAAAGGAGUAGAAGUGGAAGAAAUGAACAAGUAGGUGGAAGUUUGAUGAUGAUGAAACAAAGUGUGAUGAAGAUGGAUGAAGUUGUGAUGAAAAGAUGAAAAUAGCUUGUUUAGAGAAAAGUGUUGUCAUGUUCGAAAAGUGGUUGAAGGUGUUACUGGGGAUGGUCUUUGUUAUAUGUGUUUUCAAUGUAAUUGUAAUAUGUAUGUUGAUGAAACUUGGUUGACCUCUCCAUACAAGUUGUUGUAUUGUAAUUUGGUAAUGUUAAAAUGUGUUUUAUUUAUAAAGCUGAGGGAUUAAUGUUUAAAACUUUGUCAUUUGAUUUCUUUACUUGAAAUGAAAGUUUCUUUGAAAUCCUUGAAUUUUUUUACAUCGAACUCUACAAAUAAAUGACGUUUUAAAAGGGGUGAAAACCAAAGAAAUAAAUGUUAACUUUUUACUUUGGUUUUCACCCUAAGAAAUCAGAUAGCUUUGAAAUCUAACGGUAGAAAAGAACUCCAAAACAAUUUAAAAAGAGAAUCAUACAUUGCCAAAUGAUGAAGUUAAACAACUUAUUUUAUAAAUUAAAUUUAGUUCUCAAAAUUAUUUCAACAUUAAACAUAUUGUGAAUCAUAUUUCUUUUUCCUCGACACUUCUCUUCCAUUAAGAUAACAAAUCCAUUUUUGUACUAUUAAAAGCAUUUUGUUGACUUCAAUUUCAAAGGCCACCUUCAUAUGAACUUAGGCUUGAAUGCAACACUUUGUAAUUGAAGUCAACAAAUUGCAAUUUAAGGAACAAACAUUUUUCGAAAUCUAGAGAAAGAAAAACGCUUAGGAGAUAAAAAACAUGAAUCCUAAAAUGUUCAAUACGUAAAUAGGACGAAUGGAAUAAUAAGAAAAGCACAUGUAUAUUUAUAGAUGAAAAGAUGUCGUCACACUUCCACAGAAUCGUCGUGCAAUAUCAUUUCAUCAUGAAAAAAGCAGUACAUCGAGUAAUUAUACUAUUAAUUUUCACACUCCACCAUCUAGUAUGAACUUUGAAUAUUACCAAAGUUCAACGUUCAAACAUCAUUCAGAGACAAAGUUGAAAAUCUCUUUGGAUACUGAUAUGACCUCUUUGCAACUGAUAUGACCUCCUUGCAGACAACAUAUACAUCGAAGAUCUAUGAGCCUUGAUGUUAAAGUGAGAGUUUAAAAGAAAAAAAGUAAAAUAUAAAAAAAUUGGAGCGACCUUUUGGUAUCUUGAUGAAGUUGAAAUGUCGAAGUCCAAUAUAAUUUGACAUAAUAUUGGUGCUUUGGUAAAGGCACACAAUUAUUUUUCACAGUCCACAUCUAGUAUGAACGUCAAAUAUUUUCCAAAUUCGCGUUCCAACAUCAUUCAGAGGAAAAGUAUAAAAUGUCUUUGGAUACUGAUAUGACCUUCUUGAUACUGAUGUGACCUCUUUGCUGACGAAAAAUACGUCGAAGAACUAGGAGUCUUGACGUUAAAGUGAGGUUUUAAAAGAAAAAAAUAAAAAUAAAAAGAAAUUUGAGCGACCUUUGGCUUCUUGAUGAAGAAGAAAACGUCUUAGACACGUAGAAUUCGACGUAAUAUUGGUGUUCUGCUAAAAGAACACAAUUAAUGGUGCAAACCACUCAUGCUCGUCACGUUAACACUGCCAAAUGCUUUAACAUUCUAUUACAAAUAUAUCUUCAAAUCGUCGCUUGGAUUGGACGUUUAAUAUUGGAUUAAAAGAAAAAUGAAAUAAAAGGGAGUAAUCGAAGAAAUAGGUUACAAAUUUGGAUUUCAUUUCAAGUUGUACCCUUUGAAAACUACCCUACAUAACUUUUGUAAUCAAAUUCAUGUUAACUUUUUUGAUUUGUUUUAGUUCUUUCCCUUCACUAAACGAAGACAUUCCUUUGUUGUCCAUGAAGGCAAAGGGAUAAAACAAAGGAAAAUGUUAACACUUAUGAAUUUUAAGUAGAUCCUUUGAAAACCUACCUUACAUAACUUCGGUAAUCAAAUUCAUGUUAACUUUUUUCAUUUGUUUUAGAAAUUCAUCAACUGUUAGUGUAGAGGCAAUGAUAUUUCUAGCUUUGAUAUCAUAUUGUGUUUUCCUGUUCUCUUCUUGAGACCACUCAGAAAAAUUUUGCGAAACAGUUUUUCCAUCAAUAAUAUGAGUUGGCUCGAAAGGACCAUUCAAAGUUGCAUCCCAAAUUCCUUUGUCCAUGGAUUCGAGAAAGAUUUGCAUUAUAAUUUUCCAAAAAGGAUAAUUUUCACCCGCAAACAGUGGUGGUCUGUUUGUAGAUGCACCUUCAUCAAAGGUUUGAAAACUGGAAGUCAUUAUCCAGGAACAUAGUCGAUUCAAAGAAAAUAGAAGUCGACUAGUUUUUCAAAUAUCUUAUGAAAAUCAACUCUGGUGCCAAUUGUCGGAAAUAGAAUGACUUAGUUUCAACACCAAGAGGGGGGUGAAUUGGUGAGAUUUAAAGAUCAGAGUCUUUUCAAAAUCUUUUUUGCAAAAGUUUCUUGAUUCGCAAGGAAUGAAAAGUUUAAGUGCAGCGGAAAUGUAAAGUUGACAACAUAAAAAUUAAGUAUACUUAAUGUAAAAGUGAAGGGAUAGAGAAAGCAAACACAGAGUUUUUAUACUGGUCCGACCUCAAUGCCUACAUCCAGUGUCCUUCCACAACUAGGAAGCAAAUGCACUAUAAUGGUCAAGGUUUUCAUAGAGACCUCUACUUCAAAAAUAUAAUACACUUCUUUAACCCUCUAACCAAAAUAUAGGUAGCAACACAAAGAUCUGCAGCAAGAUAUCCCCUCUCCUGCAAUCUUCAACCCACUUUGAACAACCCUCAAAGUGUUAGAACUCCACGAGUCCACCUCCUAUAAUCCCAACAGGAUAACAACAAUCUUUCCAAAGAUUGAUAGAAAACUUGAUCAGUAUGAUGACACCAAAUGUGCAAAACUUGAUCAAUCAGUACGCGCAAUUCACUUCCUCCUUGAGACACUCUUCCAAGAAAGAUCUCCACUGUCUUCUUAAUGAGUUCUUGGAGCAUUCAAUCAUAGGAUCUCAAUCUGAAACAGAAAAUGAAAAUGUUAGUUCAACCAAAGUCCCUGUGAUCAACAAAAGAAUGUCUAUUUAUAGUUUUCUAUAAAUCAAACACUCUGUAGUCGAUUGUGCCACUAAUGAAGUCGAUUGUCAUCAGACAGUUAUAACAGUUAAGUCAAUUUGCAGCAGUCAUAACAACCAAAUUGAUUUCGCAUUGAAUACAGUUGACUUUAAUUUAAUGCUUUAACAGAAAAUUGGAAUAUAGCUGUUACAAUACAAAAGCAUUAACAAAAUUUGAAAACAAAUAACUAACUAAGUCGGAUCCACUAUGCAUAUAGUCGACGUAGACACUUCAAAACAGUUUUGAAAAUAUUUUCAAUGCAAAAUCACUACAGCACUGCUUUUGAAAAUGUGUGCAAAGUCAUGAGUUUUAAUCGAGUUACUUCAUAAUGAAGUCAACUUAAAACUUACAGUUUUGCCACACAAUAUAAGUUCAUCAAAGUGCAUGUGGUUUUCUUUUCAUAAACAUAUGUAAUGCAAUCACAAGUUAUGUAUCAAGUAUAAGAUCAAUGAAUAUGAAUACAUAUAUGAGAAACAACACAAACAUGUUCAUUAAGACAUUAUCCACAAUCAAAAGUAGAACAUGUAACACAUCACAAUACAUGUGUUAUUAAUAAUCUGUUGUCAUCAUAAAAAACCAGAGCAUGUGAGAUUAAGGUUUAGCUAAAUUAGUGCUUCCUUUAUCAACAAUCUCAACAGGAAUAAUUCUCUAGAUGUUUUGUUUCUCCUUCUCCUUCUAGUUCCGCUCAAUUCUUCAAGAAGAGGUUCUAAAUUUUUCUUACUCCUAGUACGAAAUGUAUCUUGCAUGCACAAGAAAACAAAACCCUAGAAAGCACUUUUUAGAACAAACAAAAACAAAAAUAGAAAAAAUCAAGUCAAAGUUAAUUAAUAAUCACACGAAUAGAAUAGUUAAAGCACGAGUCCCGAACAAUGGCGCCAAAAACUUUUUAAGACUCUGGCAAGUGUACCGAAUUAUAUCAAGUAAUACAAAUGGUAAGACCAAGUAUCGUUGUCCCUAGAGACUCAUUGGCCUAGAAAGUCUUGUGAUUUGUUGAUUAUUUAAGACUUGAGAACGAAAAUCAUUAUUUAUAAUGCAGAAAGUAAAUAUGCAUGUGAAUGUUGAUCAAUUGACCAAAAGAAUACGCAUGUGAAUGAUGUAUGGAUUAAUUAUGUUGUUGGGCUUUCCAACUUAUCCUAUCCACUCUCAUGUAUUUACGAAUUCCACUCCUUCAUUAAUGUUAAUGCCACUUUCUAAUUUUCCUGAAACCCAAUGUAUCAGUGAAGAAAGCCUACUCCUAAUUACUAGUUCAUAAUGUCUUGUAUCCCUAACAACUAAUCAUGCAUUACAUUCGCACAUAAGCUUAAAGGCAAUCGGUCCUCCUAUCCCUAUGUCUAGGUAAUAUUGCUCCCGAGAGAAUUUCCCCAUGUCUAGAUUUCCCCGUAUGUGUCCAUAUCAACAAAAUCAAAGAUCAUGCAAUUGAAUGAGUUAAACAAAGCAUGCAUAGAGCAAAGAGGAAAAACCCUAAAAAUUAAUGAAGUAAAGCAUAUAUAAUAAAGAUCAAUUCAAUACAUAAGUGUUUCAAAGGAUUACAUCGUUUCCCCAACAACAAUGGAGGUUUAGUUCACCAUAGACAUGGUGAAACUAGAUGAAAAUAAUGAAAAGAAUGAAAGAUAGAACCCUAAAAGUUAUAGAUCGGAGCUUCCGCAUCCAAAAUCCACCUUCGAAGGGUGAAAAGAGUGUUUCUGCGCCUCUUUCUAUCAAAAGAUAGACCCUCUAGGUUGACUAAAUCCUUAUAUAGCUUCUAAAAAUAACAAAAACCUGGCACAGGCUUAUGCUGACAGCGCUAAACGCUGGAAUUGCUGCUCCGUGGUAUGUGCGGUCCUCAGAAUAACGCUCAACAUUGACACCCAGGCGAGAGACAAUGAACUAUAGUGAAGACUCUGGCGCUCAGCGGUAAAAGUGGCGCACAGCGGUGGUUGCGGCACUUGUAUUUCCCCUCAACGUUGGCCCUUAGGCGUCAACCAGAGAACUCCAUAGCAAGGUUAGCGCUUAGUGGCGAAAAUGGCGCUCAACGGUGGAAAUGGCGCUCAAUGCCAUCUACGAUUCUUCUUUUGUGCAUUUUUCCUGCUUCUCUUGAGUCCAACUCCUUGCUACUUCAACUUCUUUAAUCCAAUUCAUGUUAAUUCCUGCCAAAACAAGGAAAACCAAGAAUAAAACAAAUAAUACUACCUUCAACUCUCUUAUUCUCUAAACUAAAGCAAAAGCUUGAUUUUAAGCUAGUUUUUAAGUCAUAAAGGGUGUUUUUAGUAUCAAAAUUAACUAUAAAAAUAACGGUAUUUCAACCGUUAUCAUCGCCUCAGCCUCCACUUCUUGGCCUCCUCGGCCUCCACUUCUUGGCUUCCUAGGCCUCAACCUCUCGGCUUCUUGACCUUAGCUUAGCCUCCUCAGCCUUAACUUCUUGACCGCCUCGGCCUCAACUUCUUGGCCGCCUUGGCCUUAUCUUCUUGGCCUCCUCAACCUCAACUUCGUGGCCUCCUUGGCCUCAGCUUGGCCUCCUCUACCUCAACUUCUUGGCCGCCUCGGCCUUAACUUCUCGGCCUCAUCUUGGCGUCCUCGGCCUCAACGUCUUGGCUGCCUCGGCCUCAACUUCUUGGCCUCCUUGGCCUCCACUUCUCGAUCUCCUUGGCCUCAGUUUGGCCUCCUCGGCCUCAACAUCUUCAUCGCCUCGGCCUCAACUACUUCGCCGCCUCGGUCACCUCGGCCUCAACUUCUUGGCCUCCUUGGCCUCAACUUCACAGCCUCAUUGGCCUCAGUUUGGCCUCCUCGGCCUUAACGUCUUGGCCUCCUCGACCUCGACUUCUUAGCCUCCUCGACCUCGACUUCUUAGCUUCCUCGGACUUAACUUCUCGGCCUCAUCAGCCUUAACUUCUCGACCUCCUUGGGCUUAACUUGGCUUGCUCGGCCUCAACCUCUUGGCCGCCUCGACCUCAACUUCAUGGCCUCCUCGGCCUCAACUUCGCGGCCUCAGUUUGGCCUCCUCGGCCUCAACUUCUUGGCUGCCUUGGCCUCAACUUCUUGGCCUCCUCAACCUCUGCUUAGCAUCCUCGGCCUCAAUGUCUUGGCCGCCUCAGCCUGGACUUCUUGGCCUCCUCGGCCUCAACUUCUCGGCCUCAACUUCUCGGCCUCCUCGGACUCAACUUGGCCUCCUAAGCCUCGGCUUCUUGGCCUUCUCAGCCUCAAUUUCUCGGCAUCCUCGGCCUUAGCCUGGCCUCCUCGGCCUCAACUUCUUCACCACCUCGGCCUCAACUUUUUUGCCUCUUUGGCCUCAACUUCUUGGCCUCCUUGGCCUCAACAGCUUAGCCUCCUCGACCUCAGCUUGGCCUCCUCGGGCUCAACAUCUCUUCCGCCUUGGCCUUGACUUCAUUAGAGGCCGAGCAGUUGAGGCCGAAUGGUCGGAUGAUUAGGGCCAAUUUUGGCUAAGUACCUGUAAGGUCGGAUGGCCGAAUGGUAGAGGCCGGAUCGCCAGAUGGUAGAGGCCGGAUGAUCGGAUGCUUGAGGCCAAAUUUGGAUAAGUACAUGUGAGGCCAUAUGAGGCUGAGCAAUUAAGGCUGGAUUGCCAGAUGAUUGGGGCCAAAUUUGGCUAAGUACCUGUAUGGCCGGAUGGCCUGAUCGUAGAGGUCGGAUGGUCGGAUGCUUGAGGCCAAAUUUUGCUAAGUACCUUUGGCCAGAUCGCCGGAUGGUAGAGGUUAGAUGGUCGGAUGUUUGAGACCAAAUUUUACUAAGUACCUGUGAGGCCAUGGGAGGCCGACCAGUUGAGGCUGGAUGGCCGGAUUAUUGGGGCUAAAUUUGCACUAGUACAAUAAGAAGAAAUGGCACCAGUUUUAUCUCCUUAUUGGCAUCGGUUCAACGACCGAUGCAUGUAUGGGCGAUGUAAAAAAUGUAUGCUUUAUGCCUUGGUCACGAGGCGAGAUAGAACGAGAUAGGAUUAUGCCUCGGUUCUUAGAUAACCGAGGCAGUAACGUGUUUUUUUUUUUUUUCAGAUUUUAGAACUCGGUUCUAUCAUGUCUAACAAACCCAAGAUUUCCCAAUUUCAGUUCAAGAAUCUAAAGCAAAGAAAACCAUAACAGGAAUCAAACAAGACACAAUAUUACACCAACGUUUAUUUAACUAUUAAACCAUUGACAUAAACAAGUUUGAACAGAGUUUGACAGGGUUCUCUACUUUUGUCUAGAGAAGCAGCUAACAUCAUGAGCUUCUUCAAGGAACAACAUACAUAUAAACAACCAAUGUCAAAAUUACAACCCACAAAACCAAAGUGAUAAUAGCAACAACUAAUGAGAAGAAACUUAGAAGCAAAGAUGAAGCAGCACCUCCCACCAUAAACAUGCCACAAGUGAUGAUUCAAAGAAGGCUUUUAUUGUGCGUCUGAAGUAUUGUGCCAACAAUGACCAAGAAGGAGUAUAGACCGAGGCAAUGUUUGGAUCCACAACCAAGACAGCUGAAUCUAAAAUGGGUAUCCCAAAUGCAAGAAUUUUCCCAGAUCCUGUGUCCUAGCUCGACCAAUCAUAUCACGUCCCUGUAUUGCAGGUUCCAACACAGCUCUCUACAACAAUAAUAAAUAAUUGAACUCCUCCAAAGGUUGCCAAUGGCUGAUCGUUGCACUGGUAAUAGUGACUAAGGCAGGAAAAAUCUCCAAAGGUUUGUAAAAUACAAAAGCCUGAGAUUUACCAUGUGAGCUUUUGCUCCUCUAAACCCUCUCAAACUUCCUUAUUUUCAAAACUUCUAGGCUUCCAAGGCUUAUCCUUCCUCCAACAAAACCAGCACCUGAUACCAUAGAAUUAACAAACAUUUGAUGACACAACAAUAGAAAAUCAAGUACAAACCAACAUAAUUUAAGAACUAUUGAUGUCAAGAAUUCAACUUCUUCAAGAUCUCUAGCCCACAUAAAAGACAAACAAACAUCGAGAAGAAAAAGUUGCAGAAAAAUAGAAAAUAAGAGUGUCCCCGCCACCCCAACCGCUGCAGGCCCACUGCCCCUCCACCUCCUGCCCCGCCACCCCGAUGAAGCCUUCACCGGCUUCUGCCCCUCAUGCCUCUGCGAACGCCUCACCCUCUUCGACCCCAACAACAACAACAGCCUCGCCACUGCUCGUAAACCUCCAUCCACUACCACUGCCACCCUUAAUGCCCUCUUUUGCCCACCCACCACCGCAGCACCCUCUCCAACCUUUUCCACCAAGACCUCAAGCCCUAAAACGAAAAAGCCCCAAAAGUAAAUGACAUUCGCCCACUCAAACCAGAUCUGCCAUCCUUUGGCGGCGAUGAACACCAGAAGCAAAUCCAUGAAGCACCUUCGCGAGCUAUUCCAUGGGAAAAGGUUGUCACUUCCAAGAACAAAUCUCCAACCUCUUUUCGCGCGAGACGAAAACAACGAACUUGUCAGCACUCUCGCAAGCUCUGAAGGAUCUCGUUGUCACAACCGUUGUUGUUGCGCGAACACGAAACCCCCAUGGGUCGCACCUCUGCCGUUGUGCCGCCUUCUGUGACGGCGGAGCUUCGUGAAGAUGGCCAUGAAAGAUGAAAAAGGGGAAAAUGCGAAGUAGCUAAUCAGUGAAAUCAGUGGAGGAAGUAACUAAUCGGUGAAAUCAGUGUGGAGGAAGUUAUUUAAUCGGUAGGGAUGGAGAUAUUCAAUUGUUCAAACGGCCAAAAUGGGAAGAAGAUGAAGAACCCUAACAGAGCUGAAGAAUAGGGUUUGCACGAAGAGAAACAGUGAAUGAAGAUGUGAGAGGAAAGUCUCGAGAUAAGCACGAAGAUAUGCCUCAGUUAUAAGGCAAACCGAAACAUAAAUGCACAAUAACAUUGGUUCUAAGAAGACCAGAGUAAUAGGGCUUUGUCACAUAGGGUUUUAUGCUUCGGUUUCAUAAAUAACCGAGGUGGUAGAGUGAACACACUUCGGUUCCCACUGAACCGAGGCAUAUAAGUUUGUUUUAAUUGCAAGAAUGCCACUGCGUUUUAAUAUGCUUCAGUUUUGUAAGGACCGAGACCUAUUAGCUGUGUUAAAAGGGUGUUUUUUUACUAGUGUUAGCUAAGUACCUGUGAGGCCAUAUGAGGCCGAGCAAUUGAGGUCGGAUGGCCUGAUGGUAGAGGCCAGAUUGCCGGAUGCUUGAGGCCAAAUUUGGCUAAGUUCUAGUGGCCGAGUGGUCGAGCAAAUGAAGCCGAGAAGUCCUGCCAGGGGAGUCAAAAUGGCCGAGUACAUGAGGCCAAGUGGAUGAGGUUGAAAGGUUGUGUUGACGUCCUUUUGAAGCACAAUGGGGAAGACUAGCUCAACCCCAUGGUGAGUGCCAAAAUGUUUCGAGUGUCUCAAAAACCGAACAUAACCUUAAAGACCGGACAAUUACCUUGAAGUUGUUCAUUCUCCUUCUUCCUUCCCCAGGCCGGGUACCUGUCAAAGGCACUCCGAUGCUCAAGCCAGUAAAAAUGACCGAACGACUAUCACAAGUUAUGCAUGUGAUGUGAAUAAUGUGUAGCGUCGUUUCAAGUCAUACCUAAGACCUCUAUUUAUACUAAUUGUAAUGGGCCUUUACUUUUGGUUGGUCCUAACAACAAUCCAAUCACACUUUAAUCUUCAUUAAGAGCUUAAUGAGUCAUUACCUACUAACGCAACCUAGGUGGACGGUAAUGAAAAGACAUUCUGAAAGAACAGCCUGAAAGUAUUACACGAGAGAGACCAUGCGGAAAGACCGUACGGCCAUGCGGAGGGCCGUACGAUACACUUGCCAAUUUUGUUUAUAUAUUUAUUGAAUAACUUUACCUAAGAUAAUUAAUUUUAAGAUUAAAUAUAAAUUUCCUUAUAAGAUAAGUAAUAUAUUAAGUAGUUACAUGUGAAUUUUAGCCAUACUGUUUUGUGAACUCAAACAAAAUUAUACCAUUUGAAAUAAUAUCAUUAAAGUAAUCAAGAGAGAUGAUUUUAAGAAUAAUUUCAGUUGAUGAUUCUUAACAUUUGAAUUUAAUAUAAAAUAUAUAUUAAUUGAACUAAAAAAUUAAUAUAUAAUUUAGAUUUUAUUCUUAUAUAAUUAGAAUUUAUAUAUUUUGAUGUGAGUGUUUGAAUUGAAAAAAUAUUAAUUGUAUAUAAUAUAUUAUGAGUUAAUUCAUUAAUUAGUUUCAUCUUAAUUUCAAUCAUAACCUUUAAAGUUAUUGUUAUUACAAUUGGUAUCCUUAUUUAUGAAUUCAAUAAUUAUUUCAUUAAAAUUAAAAUUAAUAAAUAAGCAUCAUUAAAUAAAUACAAAUCCUUUAGAAAACUAUAUUUAAAAACUUUCAUUUACUAAGUGUGAUUUAGUGCACUCUCGAGAAAAGUUAACAAAUUAUUGUUCAAAAAAUAAAUUUCUACUUUUUGUAUGAAGAUGAGUCCAUUUUUAUAGUACUAUUAGAAACAAAAAUAGAAAAAUAUAAAAGAACGUAUGUUACCCUGUUUUAAAACAACUUUUGAUAAUUAACUUCUCUUAAGAUGAAUGCUAUAAAGUUUUAUUUACACAACUGCAACAAGUGGAAGCUUAAAAAGAACGAAUUUGUGUUACAAGUCAAUCAACUCUAAGAAUUUCAAUUAUGAGAAUUUCAAUUCUGAGAGUACGUUGAAGUUGAAGCUAAUGAAAAUUAAUCAUGACUGAUCGUAAUAAUUAAACAAGUUGAUUAACAAGUUUACAUGGAUAAUAAUUAAAAUAUCAACAGUACUGAUGAAGCUUAAAAACUCCAAUAAAAUAUGCGAGAUAGCAUUUGAAGGAAACCUAAAAGUGAUCGACACUGUUUUCUUCUAUUUCAUGAAUAACCUCCAACUCAAAAUUUUGACGCCUUGCCGGAAAAAUGGUAUUUGUUGUAGAAGAACCAGAAAUAUGAAAAGGAGAAGGGGGUGCUACUAACUCACAUCCAUCGCCUUCAAGCAUUUGUACCACAGUUUUCAUGGAAGGACGAUCUGCUGGGUUCCACUGAAUGCACCAAAGUCCUACAAUGGCAAGUUUCUUGGCAAUUUUAGCAUCUGCAUUAUCCUCAACGCUAAUUUGCACAUCUUUUCCUUCCACCAAGUUAUGGAUCCACUCUGGGUACAGAAUUUGGAAACUGUCCUCAACUGACACAUUUGUAUUCUUUCUUCCUCCAACCAUUUCUAGUAGCAACAUCCCAUAGCUGUAAAUGUCAGACUUGUAAGACACAUUACCAAAGUUCCGAGAGAAAACCUCGGGGGCAAUGUAGCCCAAAGUUCCCCUGGCUGCAGUCAUCGACACCGUGCUCUGAUUUUUGGGACACAGCUUGGCUAAGCCAAAAUCAGUGAUUUUUGGGACAAAAAGGUCAUCUAACAAAACAUUGUGAGGAUUAAUGUCAAAGUGAAGAAUUCUAUGAUCACAACCAAGGUGGAGAUACUCAAUCCCUUUCCCAACACCAAGACCAAUUUGUUGCAACUUCUCCCAACCAAGGAAAACAUCCUUGUUGUCCGGUUGAACCAAGAAUCUCUGCAACGACCCAUUUGGAAAGAAAUCGUAGACAAGAGCACGGUGGAACUCAUCUGCACAGAAACCAAGCAGGCGAACAAUGUUAACGUGAUGAAUUUUCCCAAUGGCUCUGACUUCAUUUAUGAAAUCCUUUCCAUCUAUCACUGUGUCUUUGAGUAUCUUCACAGCAACAAGAAUUUCACUAGAGAGCAUUCCUUUGAACACUGCUCCAUGAGAUCCUUCCCCUAAACUCUCACUAAAACCAUUUGUGAUUCUCUUGAUGUCAGCGUAAGUGAACCUGGUAGGCUUCAUUGCCCUGUAAUCCUCCAAGAAUUUCUCUAUUCGAGCCUGGUCUUCUCCUCUCUUCUUAUAGAAGUCAUAUGUAUAAAACAAUGCCAUGACCGAUAGCAGCAAAAGCAUGAAACCACCUAUUCCUGUUGGUGGAAGAACAAGUUAACCAAAUAAAUAAAAAUUUUAGCAAGGAUUAAAUACAGUUGCAAGGGAUCAACAAAAAUAGCAAAACUAUAACAUAACAGUAACUGUAAUACUGCAUACCUGCAGCAAUGCGGACGACAGUUGACGUGGGAAUCCUUUUUGUUUGGCUAGAAUAACAUUCAGUCGCACCGUUAGUACCAUUCUUCCAUUUACAUUUUUGGCCUUGUGCUUCACAGUCUCCACAGUCAGGUUUUGACCAUUCCAUAACAAACCUACCCCCAUUGUACCAAGCCCACCCUUCGACGUAAACAUCUUUCAGCUUCGUGCAGGAUACCAAUUGGGGGUCAGUGGAGACGAUGUCGGAUCCUCCUACAAAAAUUGGGCACGAGGAAUCGCAUUGGAAGACGGAAACGUGAGACUUGGUAUCAUCUGUGCGAAAUCGGAAUGGAGAGAUGGAAGCCUUGCCGAGUUUCAAAAUUUGAUCAUUAAGGCAAUUUUGGGGGUCAUAUACUCUAAUUAGCAUAUAUUCGUAACCAAUUUCUGUGACAAACAAUUGUAUUGGAAGGGCAGGCAGCUCCAGAAUUGUUUGUUGGGUGCAUAACAGACCGAACUCAGGCGGGUAGUCGGUGGUGUGAUUCAAGUUUUUAUUUCUGAGAUAAAAUGGAAAUUGAAUGCGAACGUUGCCACAUUUAUCGGCGAAGUGGUUCUUGCCGGUCGCAGGAUUCCCUACCAGAAACAGCAGCAUCCAUAGAAGAGACAGCUUCUGAAAAUUGAGCAUUUUGGGGUUGAUUUUCAGUUUCAGGACGUCUUUCUGGUCAGCUCAAGUUUAACAUGGACUUGGUGGGCUGGCCGGGUGUACCAGCAACUCCGCGUUGUCUUCCUGUUCAGUCAAUUCAAUGACUCACGUUAUGGGUCUAAAUUUUCCACUUUAAAUGAUCAAGCCAGUCAAAUAACUCUAUUUCUUGACGAGUGGCUCUUUUUUUUUUUUUUCUUAAAUUUCAUCUUAUCCAUGUAAAAAAGUACAAUUUAAAAAAAUAAAAUAUAAUUAAUUUUAUAAAAACAGACGAAAAAGCUGUACAAUUAUUUUAAGUUGAGAAUCUCAUAUUUCUAAAAUAAUAAAAGUAUUUUUACUAAAUUUUUAUGUAAUAAUAUAAAUUAUUAUUAUUGUUUUAGAUCAAGAUGAACGAUAUUCAUUUAUUGAUAAUUUCAACCAAUGGUCCAUCUAAGUUAAUAUAUUUAAGGAAAAACUUCUUUUAACAAUAUUUUUUUAACAAUAUUUUGACACCGUGACAGUUUGUGAUUAAUCUAUUUUAAUUAUUUUUUAAAUAUAAAUUCAAAUAGACCAAUAAAAUAAUGACACGUAUCCCGUUGUAAAAAAAAUUAUUAAAAAGUGUUGUGAAAAUAUCAUUUGGGUAUAUUUAAAUGCAUUUUCUCCAAUUGGAGGAGCAGAGUUAACAAUGAGCCUCUUACCCUCUUGCUUUCGCUGCGCACAAUCAGUGGUUGUGUCGGUGGUCAUCAUUCUUGUGCUAUUCCACCAAACUUGCAGUGCCAAGCAUCGCAGAUCCUGUCCAUCUUCUUCGUGCGGCGGAAUUCGCGACAUAAAAUAUCCAUUCCGACUGAAAGGCGAUCCUCGCGGUUGCGGCCUCCCCGGGUACGAAUUUGAUUGCGUGAAUAACAGGACACUGGUUACUCUUUUUUCAGGAAAAUACUAUGUGAAGGAAAUCAAUUACAAUAUGUACGAAAUCCGGCUAAGUGAAGCGGGUGUUGUGGAGGAGACUUCUUGCUCUUUUCCUCGCUAUUUCUUAUCCCCGCAAAAUUUCAGUGGAUAUGCCGAUGAUCCGCUGACUUUUCCGAACUAUUGGUCGCAUGCUUAUUGUUUUGCAAACGUAGGGUUUCUAAACUGUAGUAACCGAGUGAGUGAUGAUCCUCGAUAUGUCGAAGUGAAAGCAUGUGGUAGUGAUUCCGGAGGAGUUAUCUACGCCGUUCUGGACCUUACAGCGGAGGAUACGAAGGUUGGAUGCAGAUUAAAGAUGGCUACCUUGGCAAACUGUACAUAUAACAAGAAUGUUUCCUAUGCUGAUAUCCUCAAAUCUAUGGAAGAAGGAAUUUGGUUGUCUUGGUUUCCAGUUGUUUGCAGGGACCACUGUGGAAAUGGUGUCUCUUGCUUCCUCAAUGAAACCACCAAACAAAUUCAAUGCGAUACUUGCCAAAUCUACAACCAUCCUACCUACAAUUGUGGUGAGAUAUAUUCUUCUACCUAAUGUCAUUCAUAUUUUAUUUUCAGAUUUCUAAAUUAUAUAAAAUGCAUAAUUUUUUUUUAAAAAUACAAAAUACGAAUAAUUCGUCUUCUGACAAAAUGGGUUGUAAUAACAGAAGUUAUGUUUCAAUAGAUCACUUCCAUAACAAGGUGUUAAGGCUUCUCCAUUUCAUAUUUUAAGAAAGAAAAACUAGUGUGAAACUUCGCUUUUAAGAAAAAAUAGAAAACAAAAUUAUAUUUUUAAAGCAAUUUUUUAUUAAAAGAAAUAUAUGUUUUGAAACACGCUUAUCCAUUCUCGUAAUGCUUUUUUUUAAAUUUACCAAUUUCAGGAAAAAAUGGCCAUGUAUGUAGAAAAACCUAAAUAUAAUUAGAUUCACUUCCAAAGAAGCUUCCAAGUAUAAUUAUGGUUAAGACAUAAUUAAACUAUAUUUUAUAUUUUGAUUUUUAUUAUUACAAUGGUUUUUUCUUAUUUGAAGUGUAAGAAUAAUAUUUGUAAAACUUUGAAAACUGUAUAGAAAUUUGUUAUUUUAAAAUAAAAGACAAAUAUAUAUAGAAUUCUUUAAAUAUUACCAUGACAUUGUAAUUCAAAAAGAAAAUUUAUAAUUCCAGUAUAAUUUACUCAAAAAUAUCAUGAAACUUGUUAAGGUUAAUAAAUAUAAUAGAGUAAUUUCAUUUUUUAUAAAAUAUUAUGUCUUUAUACCUUUUCCGUCACGUUAAUCUUUUAUGUAAAUAAUAUACUAUUUUAAUUUACUUUUUUUAUGUAAAUAUUUCUUUUUAUUAUUUUAGGAAUUCUAUCGCGAAUUAUUGGAUACCCUACAGGUACGCACGCUAUCCCAUGGUUCGUCUCGCAAUACCAUUAAAUUUUUGGUAUCUAAGAAUUAGAAAAAAUUAUACUACUACUUAUAAUCAUCACGUAAUAUAUAUAUAUAUAUAUAUAUAUAUAUAUAUAUAUAUAUAUAUAUAUAUAUAUAUAUAUAUAAAUACCUGUGAAUAUAUUCGCACAUAUAAUACAUUUACAUAAAAAAAAAACUUAAAUAUUACAUGUUUAGGAAGAUAUGCAAAAUGUAAAAAUAUAAAGUAAUUGAUAUUUGAUACAGAAGACUUUUACAUUUGAUGUUAUCUUUCAUUAUUUUUUUACUUUUUUUCUUUAUAAAUACAAAAAUUUAAUAUUUUAUGAUAUGAAUUAAAAGUGUCUCAAAGUACUAUUACAUAAAAACAUAUAUACAUACAUGAUUUGGGUAUAGGGUUGAGUAACGCAAACCGAGUAAUAGAGGGGUAGUUCUGAUGCAAAUUUUGUUAAGUGUUAUCCUUUGACGCAUUUCCCUUGGCUCAUAAGGCAGGUUGAAUUCUGAUAGCCCAAGUUACCAUUCGACCAGCUAAAUCAGGUUUUUUUAGGAUCUUCAAAAUAGGGUAGGCUAUCUGGACCACUACUUGAUGGCUCUAGAAGUAAGGCUGAAGCUUCCUGGUUGUGUUUAGUAACACCAACGCAACCUUUUUCACCUGUUGGUAACAGGUUUUUAACAUCCUGAAACACUCAGUUGAUGAAAUAGAUAAGCUUCAAUUCUGGUUUCUCUUGCAGUAAUAUGACACUGGUGGCCUCGUCCGACAUCCCUAAAUAAACAUGUAACUCCUCGUCGGCCACUGGUCGGUUCAUUACCAGGGGACAAGUCAAUAUAUCCUUCACCUCCGCGAAUGCCCUCUCACAAUUCGUGUCCCACUUCUCCAUUGACCCUUUUUCCAUUUUCCUCAACACCGGCCGAAUACGCUCGGCCAGCUUGGGGAUGAACUGAGAGCGGGAUGUAAUUCGUCCGACCAACCUCUGAACCUCCUUUAGGUUUGUCAGACUCUUCAUUUCUAGGACGACUACACACUUAUCUGGAUUGGCCUUUAUCCCUCGAUCCGUCAACAUAAACCCUAAGAACAUCCCGACCCCCACUCCGAAGGUGCAGUUGGUUGGGUUCAAUCUCAUCCCACUACAAAAAAAUGUUUAUUUAGAGGGGUUUUUUUUUUCGAUUUGCGGGGGUUUUUACCCUCCGCUAAAUAAAUUCCGGGGGUUUUUUAAACCCCCGCAGUUUGAGUCGCCACAAACUAUCUGCGGGGGUUUUUUUCGCCCUCUGGUAUCAUAUUCAAUUUGCGGGGGUUUUUCUGCGGAGGGUAAAAACCUCCUCUAUAUAUUCAAUUUGCGGGGGUUUUUCUGCGGAGGGUAAAAACCUCCUCUAUAUAUUCAAUUUGCGGAGGUUUUUUCUGCGGAGGGUAAAAACCUCCUCUAUUACUGACUAUUAUUUUGAGGGGGGUUUUAAUCUCCUUUAUAUUUUUAUCACUUUUUUUAUUUGAUGAUUAUUAANNNNNNNNNNNNNNNNNNNNNNNNNNNNNNNNNNNNNNNNNNNNNNNNNNNNNNNNNNNNNNNNNNNNNNNNNNNNNNNNNNNNNNNNNNNNNNNNNNNNNNNNNNNNNNNNNNNNNNNNNNNNNNNNNNNNNNNNNNNNNNNNNNNNNNNNNNNNNNNNNNNNNNNNNNNNNNNNNNNNNNNNNNNNNNNNNNNNNNNNNNNNNNNNNNNNNNNNNNNNNNNNNNNNNNNNNNNNNNNNNNNNNNNNNNNNNNNNNNNNNNNNNNNNNNNNNNNNNNNNNNNNNNNNNNNNNNNNNNNNNNNNNNNNNNNNNNNNNNNNNNNNNNNNNNNNNNNNNNNNNNNNNNNNNNNNNNNNNNNNNNNNNNNNNNNNNNNNNNNNNNNNNNNNNNNNNNNNNNNNNNNNNNNNNNNNNNNNNNNNNNNNNNNNNNNNNNNNNNNNNNNNNNNNNNNNNNNNNNNNCAUGUGCUCACAUUUUAAAAAUAAUAUAUAAAAAAAUUAAUCAAAUUGAAUUCAGUUUUAAAAGUCGUUAUUCAAAUUAUAGUAGUGAGUACGAUGGCAUCUUGUGAAAACUAACCUCUAGCUGGAAUUUUCAGUUCUGUAGAGCUCUGAUACCUAAAUCUACUUUCUUCAACUGCAAAAGUUACAAAAAUAUAAAAACACAUGCAAUUUUCCAUAACAAACUAGGGAAUCUUCCACAUAUUUUUUGCUAUAGAAAGAUUAAAGAGAGUUUCCAAACCUGCUCCUCAAGUAUCACUUUGACUAGUAAUACCNUNUUUUCUCCUAUGUCUUCUGUCCCUGCAACAGCAAUUAAGACAUCAAGCAUAAAAAAUAUCUCCCUAAUGAAAAUGUUUACAUCAUAGUACUUUCACGAUGUACGCAAUCAAGACAGAUCAUUCACUGCAAGCUAUAUAUAUUUAUUGUCACGAACAAACAAGCUAUCAUNCAAUCAAAAGANUGUUCUUGUCAUUUCACUCAAAAUCAAUGGAAAUUCCCUUGGCAACAUUUAUAUGCGAAUGACCGAUGCUUGGCUCGAAGACUUCAAAACUAAUCAGACUUGAGAAACUCUAGCAUAUUACAAAGUCCAAUAAUUUAAAAACUUAAACAUAAAAAUAUUAAUAUUAAAACAUAACAUAUCCUUAUCAGUAGUUAUUAAAACAUAACAAAAGAUAGAUAAUUAUUGAUCCUCAAAUCAAUCCCCAGCACCACACUGUUUACCCUUAAAGUUUACAUGAAAUUCAAUACUUCAUCUCAAACUUUGAAACCAACUUGGUAGACUUAAUAAGAGUCUUUAAACUUAUANGUAAAUCAUAUAACUUGAACUUUCAAUCUAAUUGUUGAAUGAAAGAAAUAUCUUAUGUUUACAUUUAAUUAAGUCUUUCAAGUAUUUUAUAAAAUUAAGUAUUUUUAAUUCACUUUAUUCAACAUUUUUAUAUAUUUGAGUUUCUUUCAUUUAAUUUUUCUAUUAACUUGUUUAAGAAUAAAAAUGAAACAUUUUGCAUUAAUAUAAAAUAAUAUUAAAAGUAAAACAAAAAGAUAAGNAAUUUUUAUUAAUUUUAUCAGUUAAAUGUUGCACUAAAAUUAAUACAAAACAUAUAUUAGGGACUUUUUCCAAUUAUACUUAAGGGUACUUCCCUGAUUCUGCAGUAAGUGGUUGCUUGGGUACCUUUGCGCUUCUCUUUUAAUGUAGCUAAACACUUACAUACUAUCUAAGUUAUUUUACUCUGUUAAUUACCUUUUGGUCCAUAACUUUUGUAACAGCCUCACGAACUGCAGCCAUAUCCAGACCAAUCAGUACACAACUACAUAUUCUAGCUGCCCAAAAUGAGACAAAAAUAAAGCAAAAUUUUGAUCUGGGUAAAAGUUCUUUUAGGUUUUGAUUUGGGGGGAGUUUUAAAAAGUCUAAAAUCAUAGAGGAAACGAAAAGUAUCGAAGAAAAGAAAAAGAUAAAAAGAAAGUAAUUAUAAUUUAUGGGAAACCUCUUCUAAAAGGAAUUUAAACCCCCUCUAUUAUUAGCACUUAAGUAAUUUAUUAAAAUCCUUUUCAAUCAUGUUAGUUUGUGGGAGUUUUUUAAAACCUCCUCAAAAUAACCUCCACUAGAUAAUAGUUUUUUUGUAGUGCAUGUAUAUUAAGCAUAGUAAUUACUUUGACUCAAAGCCACUUCAAUUUGUUUCCAUAGAUAUAUAAAAAGUCACAGUUAAAGCUCUAAAUAUAAAAGCAAAUGAUACAUUAUAACUCUAAUUUAAAACAUAUAGCAUAAAACAACACUUUAAAAUGCUAACAUGGAGAUCUAUGCUUUGUUGAAACCCUUUUUCAUUACCUGAAAGUAAUGAAAUAUGUUAAUACGUAAUUAUAACAAACUACAGUAACUUAUAUAUGAUUUACAUUCUAGCUGUCACCAAUUAAUGAUUCUUAAUAUGUCGUUCUAAUUUUUUUAAAAUCAUUUAAAAACUUUUUACCUUGUGCAAUUUCUUGAACAAUUCCUCGAACCAGAAUAUGAAUCACCAGCAAUGUAAACUUCCUUUGACAAAAAUUUUGGAUGAUAAAUUAACCACUGCAAACAAUUAAGCAUGAUUGUGAUUGACUAACAAAUAUAUUCUGAAAUAAAGAAAAGAGAAGGGUUCUAAAAUAAAGAAGUAAAAUUUGGAUGGGCUUGACCAGCUAAUAACUUAUCACUACUUUGAACAGCAAGUUCUGUUCUGGCAUAAGUAAAGCCUGUGAAAAAAGGCAAGUCUACAUAUAUAAUGCUACUAACCUACAAACAAAACACCGUACGAAAGACUGAAUUUGUAAGCAGAAAAUAUAGACUAUCAUUUGAUCAUAAUGUAGACUAGUACCUUGUUCCAUGAUUGAUUCCUAAAGAUCAAGUUGGGUGCACCUUCAUUGUAACGAAUGAUCACAAUGACAAGUUUAAAUUUCUAACCGAAGUGACCAAACAAUACAGGUUCAUACCUUGAAAUUAUCUAAACAGUGAAACUUUCUGUAUACCAGGCNUGCCUUUGCUCUUGGNAUUUCCAGGGGAUCUUUCGCACCUAUAGCAUUAAAAAUUCACAAAACCUAAAACUGGUAACUAAAUUGACUAAUGUGGAUGGAUCAGAGGUCUAUAUAUUGUUCAGGUAUAGAGCCAGAUUCGAUUUGAAAAUGUUCAAUGUACAACAUAUACAAUAGAAUCUUACCAUUGAGAAUAAGUAAAGGACAGGGUACGAAGGUUGGAAUUGAAUAAGGUGAAUGAAAUUGUGAAGGUAAACCUGGAGCAAUUCUGUCCCGCACCUAAUUUUAUAUAUAUAUUUUGAGAAACAAUAUCAUGAAACAAGAACAAAGUUAUAUAGAAAUUGUAUACAAUGAUAAUUUUGCAUACGUAACGUAACCAUUUUUAAUCAUGUUAAAAACAAUAAAUUAAAGCAUAUAACAGUUCCUAUCACUCAUACAAAGUAAACAUAGUUUUGUUUUUCUCUAAGCGCAAAAUGAAAAGGAAAAUAAAGUGUUACCUAUUUCAAGAAAAAGGCGAGUUAGGGAUGAGCAACCAGUGCCACCGGAUAGCCAAAGCAGGAGAGGAUCUUCCUUAGGGUUGUUAUUUGACUCAAUGAAGUAGUAAAAUGUUUGCACAUCCUUGGAUUCUCCCACUCCCUCAUAACUUUCAAAUCAUUAGUUUCAACCAAAUGCUUUCAAUCUCAUAAGCCAAAACCAACAAUCCUUUUUUCCAAUUCCAUAUUAAGCAACUUUUCUGCAANNANNUUUNCCNNNNCNNNNNUUUUNNNNGNNNCNANNANNANNNCNNNAANUUNNNNNNNNNNNNCNNNCNNNNCCNNNNNNNNNANNAANNNNNNAANNANNNAAANCNNANNNNUNANNAANAAAAAUAGACCUGUCACGUUAUGAGUGGAAGCUCCAUCGUCUGCUUGGUCCACACAACCACUGUUGCAGCUUCGUCUACCAGGAGUUUCGCGACUGUGAAUCUAAAAGAAAAAUGAAACAUGAGCAAUCGAAAGGAAAAAUAAGAAAAAUAAAGGAGAAAAGGAAAUAGAAGAAGGAAGAAAGGAAGAAACGAACACGAGGGAAAAAGCAUAACGCAAGAGAGAAGGGAAUUUUAGGGUUCAGAGAGAUUUUAGAGGAAACACAAGAGAGAAGGGGAUUUUAGGGUUUAGAGAGAUUUUAGAGGAAGGAAGGGUUUACGCAUAUAGUGUUUUAGAAUUAGGGGAAUAAAAUUUUACAAUUGAAGUUUUAAAUUUUUAAGAGGGAAGAUUGUGUUUUAGAAUUGGGAGAAUAAACCUCUCUUAAUAAGAAUUAAAGCCCCCACUAUUAUUGGCACUUAAAUAAAUAAAAUCAAACCUCUUAAAUGAUGUUAAUUUGAGGGAGUUUUUUAUAACCUCCACAAAAUAACCCCCUCUAAAUAAGUUUUUUUUUGUAGUGUCCCCUACCGCCAGACUUGUUUGAAGACUUCCUCUAGGUCUUUUAUAUGUUUCGCGCUAGAUUUUGAGCGGACCAUGUCGUCUACAUACAUGUCCAUGGUGGUCCGAUUUGAUCUACGAAGAUUUUGUCCAUCAAACGUUGUAGGUUGCAUCAAAAUUCUUCAAACCAAAAGGCAUGACCUCAUAAGAAAAGUUGGCCUUCUCGGUGAUGAAGGUUGUCCUGUCCUAGUCGAGCGCAUACAUUGGGAUUUGGUUGUAGCCUAAAUAGGCAUCUAAAAAGCUUAACAUUUUGUGGCCGGACGCCUCGCUGACCAGGCUAUCAAAGCCUCGCUGACCAGGCUAUCAAAGCUGGGUAAUGGAUAUGAAUCCUUGGGGCAGACCUUGUUUAGGUCUGUGUAGUCAGUGCACAUGCACCACUCCACUGGACUUCUUAACCAUAACCACAUUGGCGAGCCACAUGGUGUACGUCACUUCCCUCAUAAACCCCACCUCUUGCAACUUUCCUACCUCUUCCUCCACAACCUGCCUCUUUUUGUAUCCCAUUCCCCUCUUUUUAUGGGAGACCCACUGCACCUCCUUAAAUAGCGCCAGCUUGUGAGACAUGACCAAGGGAUGGAUCCCCAACAUGUCGGUCGCAUCAAAGCGAAAAGGUCGCGGUUGCGCCAUACUGCAAAUCUCAACCCCCUCUCGACGUUCGGUUCCAAGCCUUUGGCAAUCAUAGUGACCUUGGAAUCGUCUUUCCCUACAAUGAUCGGUUGCAGGGCCCCCAAGGGUUCCAUCCGAUCUUCCGUGUUGGUUCACGGGUCCAAAUCUACCAUGAUCACCUUUAAUUGUGCUUCCUGUUUCCUGGCAAAGUGCGGAUAAAGCUUCAGGUCGGUUGCAUAGCACUCGCGUGCUGUCUUUUAUCUACCCGAACGAUAUAGAUAACCCCUUUGUUUGACAGGUAUUUCAUUGUUAGGUAGGGGGUUGACACAAUGGUGCUGAAAGCAUUCAGACACGGUCAAUCCAAUAACAUGUUGUAAGAUGUGUUAGCUUCCACUAACAGGUUACACACUACUUCUCUUCGUUGUCCCGACUGGUCCCGAGGCGGGUACGAAGCUCCACGUACCCUCAGGUGUCCACCCACACCCGCGAAGCCAAAAAUAUGCUCGUUGUAGGGCACUAUCAGAUCUUCAGAUAAGUCCAUGCGCUAGAAAGUUUUCUAGUACAAAAUGUUGACUAAGCUUCCUUGGUCCACUAGUACCUUGCUCACUCCGUACCUAGCUCUUUCCACCGUGAUGACCAUAAGGUCGUCUUACUCAGGGUCGGGUGCAUGGAAAUCUUCAUCCAUGAAAGUGAUGGGAGGCAUGGUCUCUUGGACCUGUCUACUGUGUGGACCGUUCGAAGCACCCGAACAUGUCGCUUCUUGGCCGAUGAUAAUGAUCUGCCUCCGACAAACUCGCUAGAGAUGGUAUUGAUAUGGCUACGUAGGGGGCGGUCAUUACUUCUGCUACGACUUCUACUCCUCCUUUGUUCCGAUCGUGUGCGAUCGUUCCCGCCAUACCGUUGGCAUCCGCGAUACUCCCUCCUAUCUGAACUUUUAUGCCGAGGGCUACGCUCCGAUCGCUUCGCUGGGUGUUUGGUUUUUAUGUACUUCUUCAGUUGAUCGACCGAAAUCAACUCCUUUAUUUUGUCUUUGAGAGUCACACAUUCCUCAGUCAUGUGUCCCAUAUUCUUCUGGUACAGGCAAUGUUUAUAACUGUUUGCAUUGGGCGGCGUGGGUCGACACUUCGGUGGUGAAAUCACUUUUUCGCUGAGAACUUCCUGCAAUAUUUUGCUCGGGUCGUGUUCAAUGGGGUAUACUAAUGGAAACGUGAUCCUCUUGGUAAUUCCUUCGGCUUGGACCCUCCUGGUCUUUCACCAAAGCCUGGUUUGUUCCCAUAUUUCUUGUCACCUACCGCUUCUUAAUUAUGCUUCUUACGAGACUCCUUCAUCUCUUCCACCUUUAUAUCCUUCGUCGCCCUCUCUCUAAGUUCUUCCAUGGUCUUAGGGGCUCGUCAACAGAUGUUGUCGGCGAACGGACCCGGCCUGAGGGCUGGGAGUACGUAUUAGAGGGCGAGCUCGAGUUAAAACCCUUCACCUGCCGCACGGUCUUAUGGUACCGGUCCAUAAACAUUCUCACUGCCUCUUCCUUUCCUUGCUUAAGGUUCACCAGUGAAAAAACAGUCAAGUCUUGAGCAUGGCUGCUCGCAAACUGACGAUCGACCAUGCGCUUGAGACUCUCAAAGUUCUUAAUCGAGUUGGGAGGUAGCGAAUUAAACCAUUCCAACGGUUCUCCCUCCAACGAUAGGGAGAAGGCUUGACACCAGAUUGUGUCGUACCCAGUGUGAAACGUCAUCUGAUUGGUGAACGUGUUUAUGUGAUCCUUCGGAUCGGUUGACCCAUCAUACAUCUUGAACAAGGGAGUGACGAACUGCUCAGAUAUAUGAACGUCCAUAAUGGCGGGAAUGAAUGACAGACUUGACACCAGAUUGUGUCGUUCCCAAUGUGAAAAGCCAUCUAAUUGGUGAACGUCUUUAUGUGAUCCUUAGGAUCGGUUGACCCAUCAUACAUCUUGAACAGGGGAGUGACGAACUGCUCAAAUAUAUGAACGUCCAUAAUGGCGGGAAUGAACGACAGCAUGACGACCGUGUUCUCCUCUUUCACCACGAGUUGCUUGCUAAUUACAGUGCUCUCAUCUGGGACGGUCUUGAUCCCGCUUUCCCUGACUCUUGUCUUAGUCGGCCGCCAUGAGUCAUCAAGCGUCGUGUUCUGUUUCGUCUGUUCCUCUUGGGCCACCUUCUCUCCUUCCUCUACAGCUUUUCCUCCCACCUCUACUGUGACUUGGGUCGCGUUCUCAGCCCUAAGCGUGGCCAAUCCCGCCUCGUAGCGUUGUUGCAUCUCCUCAAUCUUCUGUAGUAGCAUAUAUACAUACAUACAUGGUUUGGGUAUAGGGUCGAGUAACUUCUAACUCCUUCACAAUUUCUCCUCCAAAGUCAUUCUGGACACUAUGUUCUUUUCUUAGUCUUCACUUCAAUCGUUUUGGAGAGGUACCUGCCAAAGGUUCUCCGAUGCUUAAGUCAGUAAAUAAUUCGUACGGUGUUCAAAGAAAUGGUAUUAAAUGCAUAGUAAAUGUGAUCACCUACCUCUUACCUUUGACCUGUAUUUAUAUUUUUUGAGAUAAGCUUGAGAUUAGUGAUAUCUUAAUAUCGGCCCAAUCUUAGUCCAUUACUGCUACUUAUCAUUUACCUUAAUCCUUGAAAAGAAAACUUAUCUAUUGAAUAAGGUCGGACGUCCCUGAUUUGGGUUGUUCGGUUUAGGGUCGUUCGGUGUUGUCUAUCAGAGUCCAAUGGCAUCCAUCUGUGGUUUAGCCGUUCCUAAUUCUCCUACAUUGUCCGGCCUACUUGGUACACAUUAUAUCACAGAGUUGUCCGACCCCUACAUUACAAUACAUAUAUAAAUAUAUUACAUAUUAAUGCUUUAAUGCUUCUCAUCAUCAUUACUGGCAUGAUUCUUUCCUUACAUAUAAUAUACGAGUGUAUAUAAUGAAAAUUUAACAUUAUUACCUAAAACAAUAUCAUUAUCAAUUCAAAAUCAAAAGGAUUCAAUUUAAAAUAAAUCAAAUGUUUAUCAUACAACACAACUCUAUUGGUUCAAACAAAAUGCAAACAUUUUGACUUUGUUUUUCGAAGACCAAUGUAUUAAACAAACUUACAAAAUUUGCACUUGUCAUAUUUCAAUGUCUCGCUUCUCACGAGUUGUAUCUUUAGGAUAGGCUUUAACCUGAGUCUAACUUGGCUCUGAUAGGAUAAGCUCUAACUUAGCUCUAAUACCAUGUUAAGUUUGAUAGUGGCCUGAUAGCGGGUGGAACAAUAUGCCCAACAAACAACAAAUAUCGCUAGGAUAGGCUCUAACCAUAGCUUUGAUACCAUUUAAAGAAGUAGACUUUAAGCCUAACUCAACCCCUCAAAAUCGGCUUGCAAAGUGAGGUUUGCACCCACUUAUAUAUUAUAAAUUGGCCUUAUCUCAAGUCGAUGUGAAACUUCCAACACGCCUAACUAUGUUUCUUACUCAUUAGAAGUUUGUGUUUAUAUGGCACCCAAUGACACCUAACUCGCAUUUAGGGAUCUUAAACAUCUAGUUCUUUAAAAUUAGGUUAAACCCCUUCAAAAGUCCCUAUUUUCGUACCUUUUUCCCAGUUGCAUCCCUGUUUUAUUUUUUUUUUCCAAUUUGAUCCUUAAUAGUGUAUAAUUGAUUCAAUUGAGCCAUCACCGUUAAAUCAAGUUAACUUCGUCAAGUUUUUUCUGAGUUGUGUGUGACGUGGAUUUUUGAGGUACAUGGCAGUUUGUUAAAAAAAAAUUUAAAAAUUGGGGUUUUUUUAGAAGUUGUUCUCUUCUCUGCCGUUCCAUUUCCGUCAUCUUCUUCUUCUCUGCAACAAUGGUAAAUCAAUGAUUUUUUGUUUCUUAAAUUAAAAAAAAUGUUUUCAUCAGCUGCAGUCACAACAACCACCCUAUUCCAGACGACGUCGUUCCAUUGUCGUGACGGAGCCAUCAUCUUCACUGACCUUUAAUCCCAAAUUCAACUUUAUCGAACCCUAAAUUGCUUUUCAGAAAUCUAAGACAGAGAGAACCUUCUCCUUCUGGGCUUGGACAAAUCAACGUUCCAUCUUCCAAAUGGGUCGUAUCCUUCGACCCGUUUUUGAACGGGUUCAACUUCUCCAACGUUUUCGAAAUGGAAGAGAAGAACAUUGUCUUUUUUGUUGUUGUUCCAGACGACGUUGUUCCACUGCCGUGAGUAUUCUCACCGUUAUUAACGUUCUUAUCCUGCAAAUCAGAAAUGGACAUCUGUUUUUCUUUCUGCUUUUCCUGUGUUUUGAACGCUCGAUGUUUGUUAAUUUUGUUUUGUGUGUUCGGAUCGUGUUGUUUCGCCUUCAGUUGCGGGGAUCUUCGGUUUAGGUUUGUUUAGGGAUUUUUUUUGUUGUUGUCUGUUUCUGUUUCUGUUGGAGUUUUUGAAUGAAUUUGUGGCGUUCUGGUUUGAGAGAAGUCAGUGGGUAUGGAGCAGCAGGUGUUGAUAGGUUGUCGGAAGAGAUGAAUGAUAUGAAAAUUAGGGACGAUAGAGUAUGAAUAUUUUCACUUUUUCUCAUUUUAGCCUUAUUUCAGGAAUGUCUUUGUGGUUGAUUUUGAGUUUCAGGCUAAGUUACUUUCAAUUUUUCUACCAUCUUCAAUAACUCCAUUCUCAAGUGCAGAAGUGCUUUGCAAAGAGAAAAGCGACCAAUAGUAACAACAACAAUGGAGUUUUCAAAACCAAUUUUUAAAAUGUUUUUUUUUAUCAAAUGCCAUGUAUAAUGGUCAAGCAAUGUCACGUUUAAAAAAUUGUCCAGCUCUAUAUUACAGAUCAUCAAAAAUUUCACGGUGUUAACUAAAUUUAACGGUGAUGGCUCAAUUGAGUCAAUUAUACACUAUUAAGGAUCAAAUUGAAAAAAAAAAACAGAAAUGCAACUGGGAAAAAAGUACGAAAAUAGGAACUUUUGAAGGAGUUUAACCUUAAAAUUAAUAUAAAAUCAACAUAAAAAAUUAAGACAACAAGUCACACUCAAUGAAAUAAACAAGAAAACAAAAUCCAAAAUAAAAAACAAAAAAAUCUUCCAACUAAUCUAUAUAAUUCAACAUAAGGCAAUGCAACUUUAUCAUUGAAGAUCAAACAUACUCAAUUGAAGAAAAAACAACAACAUAACCAAAUUACUUCACAUGAGAGUUCAAUAUCAAAUCCCUUUAACACACUUUACUCCUCAUCAUCACAAAUAUUAAUCGAUAGUAAUUUUAAAUUUUACUAUCCUUUACCUUAAAUAGUUCUUCCAAAGCUAAAACUUUAUAAUUUUAUAUACUGAGCAACUCCCAACUAAAAACCUAAUGUAAAGUAUUAAAAAAAGCAUAAAUUUGUUAUAAAGUAGAUUAAGCUGAAAAAAUCACUUCUCUCAACUAUUGUUAUUAAGAUUUAUGACUAAAAUCAUAUAUAAACUAGAAAAAAAAAAUCUUAUAAAAUAAAAAUAAAAAGUUAUUCUAUUUAAAAAUUCAAAGAAGCCAAAAACUAUUGAUUUUCGUUAAGUUUGAUUUUUCUUCUUUUAUAUAUUAUCUUAUUCUUAUAUUAUAUUAUUGUUUUCUCACGUUACGUGAUCUCAGUAUAAUUUUUUUUGUCUUAUUGUCAUGUAUAUUUAUUGUCUUAUGUAAGAAAUCUUUUGUUUUUAUAGGUUUUUUGAAAAGCAUCAUAAAAGGUAAUAAAGGUUAUCUAUUUCUCCUUUCAUUAAAUUCUACAAUAUAUCAAUUGGUUUUUUCCACAUGAACCAAAUUAUUUAUUAGACUUUUUCAUUAAUUUUAUUUUCACGCACUUUAAAUUUUGAUGAAACUUAACUUGACAGGAAUAUUCAAUAGAAUAACAAAUGCCGAAGGAUCAAAUGAUGUGGGAGAAUUGAUAGGUCAAUAUAUUCUACCAAUAUUAAUUGCAACUAGAUAUUUGUUUGGACUCUCACUUUUUCUAGUGAUAUUCAUCUAUAAAUGGCGACGUAGACAUUUUUCAAUGUAUGAAAACAUUGAAAAUUUUUUGUUAGACAACAAUAUAAAUCCCAUUAGAUAUGAGUAUAGAGAAGUGAAGAAAAUGACUAAAGGUUUCAAAGUGAAAUUAGGAGAAGGAGGUUUUGGUUCUGUGUACAAAGGAAAGCUUCAAAGUGGCAUAGAUGUAGCAAUAAAGAUGUUGAGCAAAUCCAAAGACAAUGGACAAGACUUUGUUAAUGAAGUAGCUACCAUUGGAAGAAUACAUCAUGUGAAUGUUGUAGGUCUUAUUGGAUAUUGUGUUGAAGGAAAAAAGCGUGGUCUAAUUUAUGAAUACAUGCCUAAUGGGUCAUUGGAUAAAUUUCUUUGUCUCGGUUUUGAACUGAGGCAAAAAUGUGUGUGCUUUUGUCUCAGUUUAUUUUCAACUGAGGCAGUAGAGGGUGUUCCUUUUUUUAUUUAUUUUUUCUUCAGACUAGUGCAUAAAUAACAUUUAACGUCACGCGUUUAACGUCUAACGAAAAGAAAUUCAACGUAAGAAAUUACUAAUGGUAGAUUUGUAAAUAAAAUGUCAUCAUAGAAGUCGGUUAAAUGGGUCUCCGACGUCAAAUAAGGUAUAGACGUUGGCUCCCCCAAGGUCAGACGUCAAAUGGUCCGCAUACAUAACUGAAAAGUCAUUAUUUUAUUGCUAGUUAGAAAUUGGCCCCCCUCCCACAAACAUAAAAAAGGUGCAAAAUUACCUCAGUUUGGGCGCCAGUAUUAAUUUUUUUUACCACUUAGACAUCGGCUAGGAAGGGGGUCGAAGUCUUAGAGCACUUUGAUGUCGACUGGGAGGGGGCCCGAAGUCAAAUACCCUGCAUUUUCACACACUAAGAACGUGAGCACCAGUUACGCGUUUUCUCUCUUCCUGCGUUCAUAUUCUUCCUCUGCUUUCUCUCUUUCGUCAUUAACGCUCAAAUAAGUUUUCUUCCACUUUGCACCGUUUAAAAUCAUUUUGCACAAAUUAUAUUUGGUUUGGAACCAUUAUCGUUCAUUUGCACCGAUUAAAAUGCGUUUUCAUUGGCUUUUGGUGCAGUUCUAGUGUGCGAGUUCUGAGACCUCGGCGACGGAGCUUUCCCUCUUCAUUACUUAUGCUCAUUCUGCAUUGCUUGUGCUCUUUCUCCUUUAGUGAUUACCAUUUUCAACCCUUCAAGAAGGUUGAUAUAUUUGUUAUUAUUUGGGAUUGCUUUUUAGAUUGUUUAAUAUUAUAAUGACUUGAAAUGCUUAGUAUAUAUCAUUUUGUGAUGUGCUGGGAACAUUUUGUGUAUUUCAGGUAUGGUUCUAUUGUAAAAACAUUUUUUUUAAAUGUAAAUGGGACGUCAGUUAGUGUCAAAACCGAUGUCAAUUGACGUUUGUUAAGGACUUUUGAUGUCAAAUUGACAUCUCCCAAUAAGACGUCGGUGUUAUGUUGUAUGUUGAAUUUCCAAAAUAAUAGACAUUAAAGGCCUUUUUUGAAGUAGAUGGGGGCCUUCUGCCUAGGUUAAUAGAAGGGUUUUUUCUUUCUUUCUUUUUUUUUGUUUUUUUGUUAGUCUUAUUGCCUCGAUUGUAGAUAGAACUAAUACCAUAAGGGUCAUACUGCCUCGAUAGUGAUAACAACUGAUGCCUAUUCUACAUGUUUUUUUUUUUAAGAAAAAAACAGGUUUGUUUUUGUAGCAAUCCCAACUACAGAAGCAGACCUAUAUAUUUCAAAAUUUUCCAGAAUAGUCUAGAAGCAUAUAUUCAAUAAAAAUUAUAAUAAAUCAUAAAUCAAUUCAAUGUACAUAAAAUUGUAAUCAUAAAUCAACUUAGAAGCAUAAAUCAAAAUCCAAUGUAAAAAUUUAACAUAAUCAUAAAUACUCUAAUGUAGAACUUACUAUAUCCUAAUAUCUACAUACUAUUAUAGAGUUGAAUUACAUAUUUUGUAAUUGCUUUCCUUAUGUGUUUAAGGGACUUCUCUGGAAUUGAAGUAGUGGAAUUGAAUCUCUACAUAAGACACAAUGAUUUCAAUUAGUGUAUAUGAAUUGUAAACUAUAGAGAAAUAAAUUCAAUAAAACCAAACAUUAUUGUUUCCUAACCACUUGUAACAUGGGCACGGGUAGUGUGGUCAUCAUCUAAUACAUGAUGUAGUAACCACACUCAUAUGACCUGCCUUUUCUAUUACACUUCAAUAUACUAUCAUAAUUAUAAAAUGUUAAGGAACAUCAUUGAAAUAGUACAAAAAGUAACAAAGUAUGGACUAAAAUACCAAACCUUAAGGGUCAACCAUGCAAGUUUUUACCUUUAGCAGUUCACCUCUCGGACAACAUCAUAUGUGCUACAAGAAAACUAUUAAAAAAAUGGCAUUAGAAUACAUUUAUAUUAGAAAGAAAGUCCAAACAUUGAGGUUCUUAACAAUCUACUACUUGUCUGAGAAGGUUGAGAGGAGACUUGUGCAAUGAAAAACACCAUACAGCAACGUUCUCCGUUAUGGAAACCACAAGUAGCUACCAAUGGUGCCUGGAAUUGGUAAUAACUUAAUUAUUAUAUACUAAAUUCACAAAUGAAGCUUUAGAACUAAAAUACUUCACUUACUUAACUAUAUAAGGGAUAAAAUAUAGCUUUUUCCCCAUUGUAAAACAACUGGUGAUGUAUGCUUGGAUGUAAUCAAAUUUAUUUCCUUUAUGAGUCAUUUGGAGAUUAAUGAACUCAUAUACAUCAUUGAACCCCAUCUUCUUAGUUACACCAAACAAAUACCUGAAAUCAAGAAAUGAUCUAGGCCAGGUGUCCAUAUCGAGGGGUAAAAAAUAGAGCCAACCAAAGAUUUAGGCCAGGCGAAAAAAUACUGAAAUGCUUGUGCCACAAUGACAAUCUCAUCUAUUGGCACAAGAACAAACACAUUUGGUACACAAUUUCAUCGGCUGUGACAUUCACCUCAUUUUCUCCUAGUUCUAUACCAUGAACUAGAGUAGAUGCCUUAAAAAUUGUGCCACGAGCCAUGAGUCUCGUCCAUGUCGUCUCCUAGGACGCCUUUUAGGUGAUCGACAAGUUUACCAGAUCGUAGCAAGUAAUAAUCCUGGUAAGAUAGGGCAUCGUUUCCUAAGAGACUCUCGGCACUAGACAGACGUGUGAUAACUAGAUUAAUUAAGACUUAAAAAGAACGAAAUCAUUGGUUUAAAAAUACAAUUAUAGAAAAUUAAAUAUGAACGCAGUUUUGAUCAAUUGAAGAGAAAGUAAAUGAAAGCAACUGAACUGAACUUGAAGCAACUGAUCUGGCUUUCAUUUACUUUUGAAGAAUAUUCGCUGAUUAUGGAUUUUGGGUGAUGCAUAUUUCCAUUUUGAAACAUGGCUUACAGCCAACAGGGUUACGUUUAGUUUUUAUGGAUUUUUGGGAUAAGCAUACUUUCUUUUUCUCUUAGAAUGAAGCACACACCGACACACACCUUUUGGAUUUAUUUUAUUUUGCUUUUAAAGAUCUUCGUAUUUAAAUUGAUUUAGCUUCAGCUUGGACCGAGACUCAUUUUAAUAUUAUUGAAUUUGGAAUUAUAUUCAGCAAUCUAGUUCAUUUUAUUUUACUGUUAGCCAUUUUUAAGUUCCCGUGAUGCAUUUGCUUAUUUCUCCAUGUGCAUUUGCGUUUGGAUAUUUAUCUAUUGCAUUGUUCAGUUAAUGUUUUCAUGCACUUUAAUGCUUUCAAUUAUGUUCGGUUGUGUUUAAUUUCCAUUUUAAUUUAGUCAACUGCAUUCACAAAACCUUUCACCACCACCCCCCCCACUAUGUGUUUGACCUAAGUCUCGAACAACAUUUGGUCCUUAAGAGACGACCUUGGAGUCACUUCCUAGCAUUAUACUGCAUUCUUUAAACACAUCAAAUUUGUAUGGGGUGCGACACCCAUCAUAUUAUUUUCUCCUUUACUCGUUGCUUGCUUUGUUUAACUCAUUCAUAGCAUGAUGUAUGAAUUGCAUGAGUAUCGGGAGAUAUCUUACAAUUCAGGUUCUACAGAAUCUCUCCCAAAAGCAGUUUUGCCUAGGGAUAAGGAUAUGAGUUUUGGUUGUCUUAAGCUAAUAAUCAUAAUGCAGAAUUAACUAUUAGGGAUGCAAGGGAUUAUGGUCUAGUAAUUAAGGAUGGACUUUCUUCGCUGAGGGGUCGGGUUUCAAGCAAAUUAGAUAGUGACAUUAACCUUAAUGAAGAAGAAGAAUUCUUAUAUGCAUGUGGAUUUUAAAAAAUGAUUUACAUACGGAUAUUUACCUACCAAUUUUUCUGUAUGUAAAAAUUGUAUGUAAUCGAAAAUAAAUUAGGUGAUAUUAUAUACGGAUUUUCAAAAUUAAUUAUUAUAAAAUAAAAAUAAUAUUUCAUUUUCAUUAUAUCACUCUUAUUCAUUCCCUUUCUACGUCCUCCUUCUCAGAUCCUUCUCUCUUACAUUCACUCACCUUAAUCACUCCUCUCGCGCUCACUCGCCUCUCUCGCACUCACUCCCUCUUGUUUACUUUCGCACUCACUACUUGUUCACCAUUACUCUAAUCUUCUUCUUCGCACUCAGUUCACUACUUUGUUCUUUCCAAGUUGAAAUUCCCCUUUUGACUAGUUUUUUCCAACUCCAAAACCCUAGUUUUGUUUCUUCCAACUCCAAUGGAGCUUCACUUCUCGAAGUCGACGGCGCCUUGAAAUUCCCUACAUAUCCAACAAAAAUGUUGACGAAGAUCUCAAACUUAUAAUCACUGUCGAUGACAAAGGACCGGUAGGGAAGAGAAUGAAGGACGCUAGGAUUUCCAAGGGGAAACCCUUGAUCAUGGAGAAGGUGAGGGUUUGGGUGCAGAGCAUGGCCAGAGGUAGUCUUAUUGAGGAUGAAUUGGAAAACAAGAAGUCAUCGCUAUUGGAAAAUAGGUAGGCUUCUUUUCUACACUAAGAGGGGGAGAGGGUGAAAUGGUGUUGUUUCAAAAAUAACUUCUUUUCGCAAUCUUGAAAACAAAGUACGAAACUUUUUAAACUUUCUUGAAAUGCAAGUAAUGAAAAUUUGUAAGCAGCGGAAAAACUUAGUUGACUGCGUGAAAAUUAAAGUCAACUAUAAUGUAAAAGAGAAAGGAUAGAGAAAAUCAAACACAGGUUUUUAUACUGGUUGGGCAACAAUGCCUACAUCCAGUGUCCUUCCACCCCAGGAAGCAAAUGCACUAUAAUGGUUGCAGUUUUUACAACAAGGAAUUUAUAGAAGACCUCCACGUAAAAAAUAUAAAUCUUCUCUCUAACUCAAAACCAAACUAUAGGCCGAAAACCAGCAAGACUGCAGCAAGAAUCCCCUCUUCUGCAAUCUGUUAACCACUUUGAACAAUCCUCAAAAUGAACUAUCCCCCUGUAUCACAACAGGUCCAAAACCAGCAGUCUUCACGGAUGCCAAGCCGAACAAUCAAUUCAGCAGUCUUCAAGGAUGGCAAGCCUAACGUGAUCAAACGCAGAACACCUUCUUUGUGCAGAUGUUGAUCAACCAAUGCAUGCGCAGAAAAUAUCCCUUAAGAAUCUCGUUCAAGACAGAUCACCACCGUCUUCUUGGAGAAUUCUUGGAGCUCAGAGAAUUCAAUCUGAAACAAAAAUGAAAUUCUUAGAUCAUCAAAAGUCUUCUGAACAAAUCGUGUUCAGCCUAUUUAUAGAUUUCUGUUAAUUAGACACAUUCUUAGUCGAAUAUGCUACUAAUACAGUCGACUGAAUUAUGAUAGUUAUAACAGAACAGUCAAUCAGGUAACAUACAAUCAACCAAAAACAAAACACAUUUAAGACUAAGUCAUCAAUGCUCAACUAACUUUUAAAAAUAUAGUCAUUAGAGCGCAAGAGCAUAACGAAAUUUCAAAUCAGACAACAGAUACAGUCGAAUGUGUGGCGCACAUAGUCGACUAUCAACAUGUAAAACAUUUUGAAAUUCUUUUCUUCUCAAAAUAUCACACAGCACUAAUUCUCAAAAUCUGUACAAGGAUUUUAGCAUAGUUGAAUUCACUAGUAAUGUAUUCGAGUUCACUAUAACUUUGUCGCACAAUAAUAAGUUCAUAAAAGUGCUUGUGGUUUCCAACUUUGAAACAUGUGCAGUAAAACAUUUGUAAUGAUGCAUUUGCACAUAGCACAUAAAGCAUAUAAAGAUGUUCCAGAUAUAUAUAUAUAUCAAUCAAUCAACAUAGGAACAUGUAACACAAUUCAUAAACAUGUUCAACAGAUAUCACAAUAAAUCAGCAUAAGAACAUGUAAUGCAGUAACAACAUGUGCUUUUUAUUAAGCAGUGUCUUGUCAUCAUCAAAAACUAGAUUGAUAUAGAAAUUGUGUUGUCAACAAUCUCAACAAUCUGCCCCUUUUUUGAUAAUGCACAACCAUGAUUAAUAACGAACCAUGUUUGCACAUUUCAAUACAACACAGAGUAACAAAAGAUAUAUUACAGUUAGAACAUUUAAGUACUCUGCAUGUAACACAAUUAAAAAACAACAAAUAUCAAGCAGAAUAUGAAAUAGAAUAUAACAAUACUCCCCCUUUCAUAAAGCUUUCAUAAAUCUCUCCCCCUUUGGGCAUUAGCAAAAAAGGUAUGCUCAAGAUCUUUUGCUGAUAAACAAACAGAGAUGCAUCAAGAAGUAUAUGCAAUUAUCAAUAUGCAAUGAUGCUCUCUCUAUCGCAUUUAAUCACAUGUAAAUGAUAACUUCCCCUGGAAUGCAGGCAUGUAAGUGAAAAAUGUGUAAAAUGUAAUACUCCCCAUAUCAUUAUGCAUAGAUAUUAGAACCUGCUUAGAUGGACAAUGCAGUGUAUCACAUAUUAUAUAAGCAGUACGCACAAAGUUGUAUCAAAGACAGGAUAGCAAACAGUUUAGUCAUGCAAUGAUACAAUCAACAAUCUCACAAUAUUAUCUCAAAUAUGAUAUGUAAAAAUCAAUUUAUAUCAGAGAUAAUAGCAGAUAUCAAGAAUAAGCAAUCAAUGAAAGAAUAACCAAAUUCUAGAAUUGGAAUUUAUAACCCUGUUAUGAACAGUCGAUUACAUAAUUUUCCCAAUCGAAUGCAUUGCGUUCCAACAUUGUUGAAAUCCACUUGAAGUUCCAAAAGCAAUGUUCUUCCUGCAAAACCUUUCAAAGAUCUUUCCCAGAUCAAGCAUUUUAGUUAAGCAAGAAAUAUAAUCAUGAAUAAUAGAAGUCAAUAUGUAAAGAUAUAUAACAGUUCAAGCAUAGUUGACUUCAAUCAAAUUUCAGUCGAAUCAAUUUACAUUCAGCAUAUCAGAUUCAAUUAAUCAAGUAAAAGCAACUGAAUUAGAUUCAAAAUAAAUUUCAUUUCAUUUCUUUGAGAAGGAUAUUACAAUGAUGAGACUCGAUCAAGGAACAAAAGAUGCAAAAGAUGGCAUUAUAAGCCAUACAAAACAGAAAAUAAACAAAGAGUAACCUAUGACUUUAGACUCUACACGGUAAACAGAACUUUAUUCUGAUUCAGAGAUUUUAGUAGUGCUUUCUUCAUGAUAAUGGUCAUUCUUACCAUUAUCUGUGGUACAAUUUUCUUACCAAAUCAACUCUCUUGAAGCUUGAAACAUGCUUAAUCCUUCCUUUUAUCUAACUUUUUGAAUAGGUUUAGUAUUGGUUACACAUACAAGUUUUCAUCAUUAAUUCUCAAGUUUUGUAGGAAAUUUGAGUGCUUUGGAAGAGCAUCCAAACUACCAAGAAUGGGAGUCCAAGAAGAGCUACAAAAGCAAGCAGAUCUGCAGAAAAGGAGAAAAAGAUGCAUUGUAGAAAAAUCAGGCUCGGGCGCCCCAGAAAGGGGUUGGGCGCCCUUUCCUGCUGUUUCACCUCAAAAUAUGGCGCAUGGGCGCCCUAGAAAGGGGUUGGGCGCCCUUUCCUGCUGUUUCACCUCAAAAUAUGGCGCAUGGGCGCCCUAGAAAGGGGUUGGGCGCCCUUUCCUGCUGUUUCACCUCAAAAUAUGGCGCAUGGGCGCCCUAGAAAGGGGUUGGGCGCCCUUUCAUGCUGUUACACCGCAAAAUAUGGCGCCGAGGCGCCCCUAAAGGGGGCUGGGCGCCCUUUAAUGUUGUGUUUUCAUUUAAUUUUGGCGCCUGGGGGCCCCAGAAAAGGGGGUUGGGCGCGACUUUUUGCUGACUUGGCACCCUAGACCUAUAAAAGGCUCACAUGCAACGAGAGUGUCAUCUUCUUGGUGGUUGAAGCUCGAAAACAACCCUUUAGACUUGUGGGAGCCGAUUUUAGGCAGUGGGAACUCUCAUUUCUCCUUCCUUGGAUCUUCAUCUUCUCCAUUUUCUUCUAUUGUAAGCUUAAGCUCUCCAUGACUAUGGAGAGCUAAGUUCUUUUUUUUGGGGAAUGAUGUAAACUAUAAAACUCACUUGUAAAUGCACUUGGUUUAAAUGAAAAUAUGCUUCUUUCAUUACUUGGUAAUGUUUAUUUCCUUUGCUUAAAGCUUGUUAUUACUUGAUCAACCAUAACAUGAUUUUAGGGUUUGCUUAAUGUUGGGAAAUGUUGUGUGAACCUUGAAAUGGACUAAACACCUAAAGGAAAUAGUGUCUAGGAUAGAGCUAGGACCUUUGGUUUUCUUAAACUUCUUUUCUUAAUGCAGAUGAACUUGUUAGGUUGCCAAGGGAUUGAGAUUUAAUAAGUGAAUCUAGGCUUUCUCACUAAGGGAUUAGGUUUAAGUAACUUAGUAAGUUGACAAGAGCAAUUAAAUGAAGAAGUGGUUAUGUGCAUUUGCAUAGGAGUGUAAUAGUGGAAAUCAUUCUCCAACAUAUCCAUUCCAUAUCAUCUUCAAUUAUUUCAUUCUCAAGUGUUUUAACCCCAAGAAGUUCACUUUAUCAUUUAUGCAUUAUGUUUAUUUUCAUUGCACAAAUUCACAUUAAAGGGAACCAUUCUUUAGCCUAAGUUAGUUAGAUAAUUAUACGAUAGUAAAGUGUUGACUGAGUCUCUUAGGAUACGAUAUCCAGUCUUACUGGUUUAUUACUUAAAACGAUUUGGUACACUUGCCAAAGAGUUAACAAGUUUUUGGCGCCGUUGGCGGGGACUCGGUGUAAUCACUUUACUUUUGUGUGAUUUCUAACCCAUUUAGGCAUUAUUCGUAUAUUUUUUUUACUGUGAAUAAUCUUUGUUUUCAUUAUUUGUGGGCUAACUUGGUGCUCUAGUACUAUUGUCUCUAGUGUAUGUAGGGCACAAUCCGUACUAGAAGCACACCAUCUUCUCAACCUCUCCUCUUAGAUCCUAUAAUUAAAAAGACUGCCCGAAGAAACAAUAGUAGAAGAAGAAGAAGAAGAGAGAAUCGGGCAUCUAGAGAAACUUCUCCCAUUCUUGUGAUUACUGAGCAACCCAUCUUACCUGCAGCUGAUCAAGAAGUUGAAGAUAUGGCUGACAAUCGGAAUGAUAAUGGUGAUGGGCAAGUGAGACGCACAUUGGAGGACUACUCCGCUUUUUCAGGGUUGCUUCAUUUCAAUAGCAUUGCACGACCACGGGUCAAUGCCCCAAACAUGAAGAUGAAGCCUGCUCUCAUUCAUCUUGUGCAGAGUAAUAAGUUCCAUGGUCUAUCACAUGAGAACCCAUUCAAUCACAUAACCAGCUUCAUUGAGAUAUGUAACACGGUUAAGCUCCAAGAUGUAUGUGAUGAAGCUGUAAGGCUCAACCUAUUUCCAUUCUCAUUGGGACGCAACACCAAGGCGUGGCUCAAUUCCUUUCCUGAAAAUAGCUUCACAUCAUGGCAAGAGGUGGUGGCAAAAUUUUGCAACAAAUACUUCCCUCAGUCCAAAGUUAACAAAGGGAAGUAGGAAAUCUCAUCUUUCCAGCAGGAUUUUAGUGAGACAUUGAGUCAAGCCUUGGAUAGAUUCAAGGGGCUACUGAGGAAGACAUCCAUUCAUGGGUUUAAUGAGCCGACUGUCCUGAACAUGUUCUUGGGAGGAUUGAGAUCCCAAACCAAUUUGAUGUUGGAUGCCUCAGUUGGAGGAAACAUACGUUGGAAGACCCCAGGAGAAGCCCAUGAGCUCAUUGAGAACAUGGCUGCAAAUGAUAGUGAAUUGCAGAAUGAAAGGGGGCAACAAAAAGGUGUCUUGCAACUACAGUCUCAGGAUGCCAUCUUGGCACAAAAUAAGAUAAUGACCCAACAGCUUGACAUUCUCAUGAACAAAGGCUCUCAGUUGCAAGGGCUCCAAAAUGUGUCACACGCCCAACAUCUAGGGUUUGAGUUAUGUGGUGGAGAACAUGCAAAUGGUUAGUGUGUUAAACAGGCCAAUACCUAAGAAGAUGUGAAUUAUAUGGGUAAUCAAAACCGACAAAGUAACUACAAUUAAGGUUUGAGACCACACCCAAGCAUGGGCCAAGGACAAGUUGGGCCAUCAAAUAGACCACCACAACAAAAAUAUCAACCACACCCCUCUCUAUCAGAGAGAACUUCUAAGUUGGAGGACACUCUUUAACAAUUCAUGCAAGUCUCCAUAUCCAACCAUAAGAGUGUAGAAGCUUCCAUCAGGAACUUGGAGAUCCAAGUGGGCCAACUGGUCAAGAAGCUUGAAGAGAAGUCUGAUAAGAGUUUUGGAGCUAAAACUGAGACAAAUCCAAAGGAAGAGUGCAAAGUCAUCACUACUAGAAGUGGUAAGGUGUUAGUUGAGAAGGAGAGAGAGGAAAAAGAUAAAAGAGCUGAGGAGAUGGAAAAAGAAAAGAGUGGAGAGAAAAAUAAUGAGAAAGAGAAUGAGGAGAGAAAAGUAGAGGAUGAGAGUAAAAAAAUGAGAGUGUGAGAGAGGAGAAAAAGAAAGAGGGAGUUGAGAAAAAGAAAGAAAGGGAGAAACCUCUUCCUUACCCUAAAGUCUUCUCAAGAAGGGAGAAAGAGAAGCAAUUUGGGCGCUUCAUGGAUGUCUUCAAGAAAAUGGAGAUUACUAUGCCCUUGACCGAAGCACUGCAACAAAUUCCCUCUUAUGCAAAACACUUGAAACAGUUUCUCAAUAACAAAAAGAAGUAUUUAGAGGAAGGAACAAUUGAAGUUCAAGGGAAUUGUAGUGCCAUUAUGCAGAAGAAUCUACCUCCAAAAUUCAAAGAUUUGGGGAGUUUCGCCAUCCCUUGCACCAUUGGGAAUCAUGAGAUAGGGAAGGCGCUUGUUGAUUUAGGGGCUAGCAUCAAUCUGAUGCCCCUAUCCAUGCUCCAGAAGAUUGGUGGUCUGGAAGUCAAUGUUGAGAAACAGGUAGGCUUCGUUUUACACCAAGAGGGGAGGGGGUGGGUGAAUUAGUGUUUGUUCAAAAACAAAAUCUUUUCGCAAUCUUUAUACAAAAGUGAAAAGCUUUUUGAUCUUUCUUGAAAUGCAAGUAAUGAAAAUUUAAUGCAGCGGAAAAACGCAGUUGACUGCUAAACAAACAAAGUCAACUGGAAAUAAAGAGUGCAAGGAUAGAGAAAAUCAAACACUGGAUUUGAUAAUGGUUCGGCCAAUAAUGCCUACAUCCAGUGUCCUCCCAACCCAAGAAGAAAAUGCACUAUAAUGGUUGCGGUUUUUACAACUUGUGUUCUGUCUAUUUAUAGUUUUCUGUUAAAACUAAUUGCUUCUCAGUCGAAUAGCCUAUUAAUACAUUCAACUGUAUUAAAACAGUUAUAACAGACAAUCAAAACAUAGGCUCUCAGUCAACAAAAAACAACACACAUUUGUUACAGUUGACCAAGUCAUCAAUGCUUAACUAACUUUUGUAAAAUAUAGCCAUUGGAGCGUGUAAGCAUAACAGAAUUCAAAGCAAAUCAAUAACACAGUUGAAUAUGCAAUAUACAAUGUCGACUGACACAUGAAAAAACACUUUGAAAUUCUUUUCAACUCAAAAUCUCACAUAGCACAGGUUCACAAAAUUUGUACAAAGAUUUUAGAACAGUUGAAUCCAUUAUAGGUGUAUUCGACUGGACUAGAACUUUGUCACAACAAAUAUAAGUUCAUAAAGGUGUUUGUGAUCUUUUACAUCCAAAAAUGUGAAAUAAAAUGUUUUCAAUCAAUCCGUUCAUAUUCCACAUAUUCAUACAAGCAUGUUCCACAAAUAUAUCACACAAUCAAUCAUAGGAACAUACAUCACAGUACAUCAAAACAUGUUCAGCAGAUAAGACAAUUUAUUCAGAAUACGAACAUGUAAUGCAACAACAUGUGUAUUGUUAUUAAGCAUUGUGUUUUCAUCAUCAAAAACUAGUUUGAUAUAGAGUUUGUGUUGUCAACAAUCUCAAAAAUCAAGUCUACAAAAAUGAUUUUGCAAAUGGCAGAUAGAUCCAUCACGCAUCCCUAUGGUGUGGUAGAAGACGUGUUGGUUGAAAUUGAUAAACUCCAUUUCUCGGUGAACUUUGUAGUUAUGGAAAUGGGGGAAGAUACAAAAAUACCUCUCAUUCUUGGAAGACCUUUUAUGAAGACGACCAAGGUUGUCAUUCAUGUUGAUAAGGGAACUGUACAAUUGAGAAACCAAGAUGAUGAGGUCAAUUUCAAUGUCUCCGAUGCUAGGCAGCAAAAUCAAGAAGAAAAGACUAAUCCUAAAGCUAAGAAUGAAGUUCUAUCAGUGAUUAGUCUAAUAGGGCAAGUUGUCAAAGUGGUCAACAAGAGGGUUAAUUGUUUCUCUCCAAAAGUGAAGGAUGAGGAUGGAGACAAAGAAGAGAAACUUGUUCAUCAACACUCCAUUGUGGAAAGUGAUGAACCCAAACCUGGCAAACCAGUGAAGCUCAAGAACAGGUUAUGGGUUAUCAAGGCGAUAAAGGCAAAUAAAGUACUUGAAAUUGAGGCUCCUACUCAAGGAGAGUCAAGUUGGUGACAAGAAAAUUGUUGAGAUUAUGUUGGUGUCAUGAAAGGAAGAAACACACCAACAUUAAAAGUCAAACUUGAGCAUAAUGGUAUCAAGCUAAUGACGUUAAAUAAUCGCUUCCUGAGAGGCAACCAAGUUUUCUAUGCCUUCUCUUGUGUUAUUUUGUUAUUUUGGUGUGUUUUGAUUGUUUCAAUUUGGUUUGAUGUGUUUUAUGUGCAAUUUAGUUGUUUUAGAAAGUGUGUUUUUGAUUUGAAGUUAUGUGAUUUUCACCUUAAGUUAGUAGUUGUAACUAAUUGCAUUGGUGUAGUAUUGAGUGUUGUGUUAAAUUGCUGUGAAUAGGUGUAGCUCAAUUGGUUUAGUUGUGUUCUGGUGUGUUUAAGUUUGUGUUGUCUUGAUUUGGAAGUUUAGGUAUGCCUUAUGUGUCAAAAGUAAGUCUUGAGUUGGAGAGUUGGAAAGUCUUGGAAGUGGGCAUGUGAUUUGUGAUUCUUGCACUCAAUUUCACUCCUUAUGGAUUUGAGCAAGUUUGUUUAGUGAAAAUAUAUGAAUCUGGACUAAAUUAAGUGUUUAGAAGUGUCAAUAAUCAAAAGUCAAAGUUGAGUUGGACCAAAAUGCAAAGCUGCAGAAUUUGCUGCAAAAUUGGCGCUCGAGCCCUUAGGGGGCGCCCAAGCGCCAUCUGCUGAUCCUAUUUUCUCUAGCGUGGUGCUUUUUCACACUCGAGCCCCCCCCCCCCCCCUCUAGGGGCGCUCGGGCUUGAGAUUUGCACAUAGAAAUUGAAAUUUUGAGCUUUUGGUGCAUAGCAUUUGUCUUGGCUCGCCCUCUUUCACACACCUCUUUUAGUGUGUUUUUAAACUUUUUUGUGUUGUUGUACCUUUGGGGGGGCAUAAUUUUAAACCUUCCCUCUAUGUUUUUGUAGUUUUGUGAUUGUAUGUUGAAUGAUUGAAGGUGUUUUUGUGAUGUGUGUUUUAGUUUGAUUUUCUUUGAGUGUUUAAGUCUAUUUCAUAAUUGUUUAGUUGUUUUAGUCUAUUGUUAGAGUGAUUGGGGUAUGUUCAUGUGUCUUUGUUUGUCUUAGUAUGUUUUAGUGUGUUUUUGGACCUUUGUCUUUUGUUGUUGACUAUGGGAUGCUAAAUCUACUUUAAGCUUUCUUUGUGCAGGACAAUAUCUUCCUUAGGAUUUUGAAAGUGUCGAAAUCACCGAUGGUCAACCUUUGAGGCAUGUGUGAGCUGAGCACCCUAUUACUUCAAGAUUUUGCUGCUCGUAUAGCAUGGCCUGGGGGCCAGGCCCUUACUGAUGGGGGAGGUGGAACAAUUGCGGAGUAUAAGCUGCUUUGAGGAGGAAGAUGUGUCAGAUGAAAGUGAAGUUAGUGUUCCAUGGGAGCUGCUGGAGCUGCAAAGUGUCCAACUUGAUUGGUUUUUCAAUUUUAAUUUCUCGUUUUUUGUUGCUUUUAGUUUUUCUAAUUCUAGUUUUGUUGUUGCUUUUAAUAUUGAACUUGGCUAACUAGAUAGUUUUGUUGCAAUGGUUUGGUCUCAAGUAAUUAUGUUUUGGGCUUUGUUUGAAUUAAAAUCUCUUGUGUUUGCUCUUAUUCUUUGUGAUUGAUUUUGAAAAAUUGUUGAGCUGAUGUUGGUUAAGCUCUUAAGCAUAGAUGGUGGUUGCUCAUAUGUGUUUGGACAAUGAAAUGUCUUGAUUGUGGUCAACAUUCUUGGCAAUUUGUUUGAUAGAUUUUGGAACUGUUAGUUAACCUGUGAGUUGUUGUGCCUCAGAAUUAUUGUUGAAUGCUAUCACGUUGAAUCACAAGUGACUUUACCUGAGUUUCUUCUUUUGAACUAUUCACUUGCUUGUUAUAAAUGAUCAGGGCCAUUUUUUCUUUUUCCUCUUCUACAUUUUGAGCCAAAUAAGCCAAUGCCAUCCCUUUGAACCCCAAAAGAAAAAGAAAUUUCUCAUCCCUUGAACCUUGAGCUUGAUGUGAAAAAUCCUUGACCUCCUUACCUUGAGUUAAGCAGAGCUUUCAUUUCUGGUAUAGGAGAAUGGUUUAAGUUUGGGGUAGUUUGGCAUAUCAUGUUAUAAAAGAGCACUGAAAAAAAAGAAGAAGAAAGAAGAACAAGAUCAAGAUCGAGAAAAAGAAUUCAAUGAAUGAAAGUUGGAAAAUGAGUUGAGAAUUGGUUUUAGUUGUUAGAAGCAAGAAAGAGAAUAAUGUUAUCCUGCUUUGAUUUGUUUGCUCUUUUAACUCAAGGUGCCUUGUAUCCAGAAAAAAAAAACAAUUUUUCUUCUUAACCCAACCACAAUUCUAGCCUCAAAAUAUCCUUGUGAUGAUAACUUGCAUGUGAAUGUGUUUAACAUGGAGUGAAAUGAAAGGCAAAGUUGAUUUGUGUGACAUUGUGGUGGUGGAGUGAAAACAACGCACCUCAUGAUACACCAUUGAGCUUGAGUGAAACACUUUUUCUGGUGAGGAAAGGUUCCAUGCAUUUCAGGAAAACAUUUUUCCAUGUUUGUUGAUCCCUUAUAAAGCCUUUGCAUCUGUCUUGUGAUCUUUGUUCUGUGAGCACCAUAGUUUAAGCUUGAUUUUCCGACUGCAUUAUCUCUUGCUUCGUCUUUCCACGAAGAGCAAACAUGUUUGAUUUACUUGUUUGAUUAAAAUUUCCUUCUUGAGUUGCUAGACCGUUGUAUGUGGGUUGUUUUGUCUAAGCCAAGUUCCUUUUUUGCUUGAGGACAAGCAAAGUUUCAAGUUUAGGGUUGUUGACAAUGGUAAUUCUUACCAUUAUUUGUGGUACAAUUUUCUUACCAAAUCAACUCUCUUGAAGCUUGAAACAUGCUUAAUCCUCUCUUUUUUCUAACUUUUUGUAUAAGUUUAGCAAGGUUACACAUAAAAGUUUUCAUCAUUAAUUCUCAAGUUUUGUAGGAAAUUUGAGUUCUUUGGAAGAGCAUCCAAACUAUCAAGAAUGGGAGUCCACGAAGAUCUACAAGUGCAAGCAGAUCUGCAGAAAAAGAGAAAAAGAUGCAGUGCAGAAAAAUCAGACCUGGGCCCCCCAAAAGGGGGCUGGGGUGCCACAGAAGGGGGUUGGGCACCCCAGAAGGGGGCUGGGCGCCCUUUCAUGCUGUUUCACUGCAAAAUAUGGCACCUGAGCACCCCUGAAGGGAGUUGGGCGCCCUUUGAUGUUGUGUUUUCAUUUAAUUUUGGUGCCCGGGCACCCCAAAAAAGGGGGCUAGGCGCAACUUUUUGCUGACUUGACACCCUAGACCUAUAAAAGGCUCACAUGCAACAAGGGUGCCAUCUUCUUGGCGGCUGAAGCUCGAAAACAACCCUUUGGACCUGUGGGAGCUGAUUUUGGGCAGUGGGAACUCUCAUUUCUCCUUCCUUGGGACUUCAUUUUCUCCUUUUUCUUCCAUUGUAAGCUCAAGCUCUCCAUGACUAUAAAAAGCUAAGUUCUUUUUGUUGGGGAAUGAUGUAAACUGUAAAACUCACUUGUAAAUGCACUUGGUUUAAAUGAAAAUAUGCUUCUUUCAUUACUUGCUAGUGUUUAUUUCCUUUGCUUAAAGCUUGUUAUGACUUGAUCAACCAUAGCAUGAUUUUAGGGUUUGCUUAAUGUUGGGAAAUGUUGUAUGAACCUUGAAUUGGACUAAACACCUAAAGGAAAUAGUGUCUAGGGAUAGAGCUAGAAACUUUGGUUGUCUUAAACUUCUUAGGUUGCCAAGGGAUUGAGAUUUAAUAAGUGAAUCUAGGCUUUCUCACCAAGGGAUUGGGUUUAAGUAACUGAUAACGGUUGAAAAAUAGUUAUUUUCAUAUGUCAAUUUAGACCAAAUUACACCCUUUAAGACUUAGAACGAGCUUAGAAUCAAGUAAAACUCAAUAAAUGAGUCAGUCGAGAGUCAAAAGUUGUUUUUAGCGAUAUUAUGCUUGUUUUGCAUUGUUUUGUAGUGAUUUUGAUGAAAGUGAAGAUUGGGGUUGAAGAUGAAGGUCUUAGACUCAAGAUAGAGGAAGAAAAUUGUAGAAAAGAAGAGUCAAGAAACUGCCUGGCGGCAAAAUUCACCGUUGGGCGGUCCAAGGCGAGGAGAAGGCACCUGGCGAUUAGAGGCAAACCGUCGGGGCGGUGGCCCCCUACCGUCGGGCAAUGGCGCGAUUAGGGGCAAACCGCCGGGCGGCAUAAGUGUGUCAUCGGGCGGUUGUCCGCUGGGCCUAGGCCUGUUUCCUGUGACGCUCCUCAGCUAUAAAUAGCCUGUUACGAUUUCAUUCUCAUUCUUUUGACAGAAGAGGGCGGCCAGACCUAAUUUUCACUNNNNNNNNNNNNNNNNNNNNNNNNNNNNNNNNNNNNNNNNNNNNNNNNNNNNNNNNNNNNNNNNNNNNNNNNNNNNNNNNNNNNNNNNNNNNNNNNNNNNNNNNNNNNNNNNNNNNNNNNNNNNNNNNNNNNNNNNNNNNNNNNNNNNNNNNNNNNNNNNNNNNNCUUUUAUUGAAACUCUUGUUUAUUUAUAUGAUUCUUCAUAUGCUUUGAUUAUCAAUUGUUGGGUUCUCAUUUGCACUUAAUGCUUUUAUCGUUUAACUCAUUCGAUAACUGUUGUUUGUCUCUAUUGAUACGGGAACCUACAGUACUGUCAUGAACGGGUGAGAAAUUCCUUGAUUAAGCAAUACCAACCUAGGGAUAGGGGGUAGGACAAGCAAUUGUUUUUGCUUCUGUUCUUAAUGCAUUAUUAAUUGCUAGGGGAGGCUAGGGAUAGACAGCCGAUAAUUAGUAAUAGGCUCUUCUCGUCGAGGGAUCGGGUUAAGGGUAGGCCAAGAAAGUUUGCAUAACAAUGAGAUAAUCAAGCACAUUAAACAAGAGGAGUAGAUAAGAGGGAGUGAAUAAGAUGAAAUUGUAAAACCCCAACAACUCCAUUCAUCCAUAGUCUCUUUCGUCAACUGAACCAACUACAUUGCAUGUUUAUUUUCUGUCUUUGCAUCCACAACAAUUAAUUCUUUCUCUACAAGUCUUAUGAUUUUAAUUCACACGAACGAUCCUUUCGAGUCUCUUGGGAAGAACGAUAUCGGGCUUUACCGAUUAUAUUACUUGCACGAUCUGGUACACUUGCCAGUGAGUCAACAGUAACUUAGUAAGUUGACAAGAACAAUUAAACGAAGAAGUAGUUAUGUGCAUUCGCAUAGGAGUGUAAUAGUUGAAAUCAUUCUCCAACAUAUCCAUUCCAUAUCAUCUUUAAUCAUUUCAUUCUCAAGUGUUUUAACCCCAAGAAGUUCACUUUAUCAUUUAUGCAUUAUGUUCAUUUUCAUUGCACAAAUUCACAUUAAAGGGAACCAUUCUUUAGCCUAAGUUAGUUAGAUAAUAAUACGAUAGUAAAGUGUUGACUGAGUCUCUUGGGAUACGAUAUCCGGUCUUACUGGUUUAUUACUUAAAACGAUUUGGUACACUUGCCAAAAAGUUAACACUUCACUUAUACCAUCAACAUCUUCCCUUUCAAAUUUUUCUGAUGAUUAUGAGAUCUCAAUAAAAUGUUUGAAUAAGAUAUUCAUCUUCUCAUUUAGAGUUGACAGUGACUUAUUUAAGUCACGUACCCUUUUGGAAGUCCUCUUAAACCUGUCUUCCACACGAUUUUAAAAUUCAGAUUUAGGUGAAGCAAACUCUUGAUCACUGUCAUGAUCCACUGAUGUAUCUUUUCCUUUUAAAGAAUUUUCUUCAUCCCUGAAAAUCCAACCGUGAGUUGUCCUCUUCAUUCCAAUGCAAGUUAGAGUGGCUUUUCCAAUAAUGGGUCCUUUGCUGCAAGUGAGUUUGUUUUCUCCAGUGAGGUAUACACCACUUUGUUCUAGUACUUUGCUUAUGAGUACACCAUAUGGAAGCCUAUGCCAGUCAUUUGUUCCCACUUCAAGAAUAUGUCUUUUAAAAAUAGCAACCCAGUUUGUUGGUAUCUUUUGUACAAUGGCAUAUAGUAGGCAAACAUCCAUAGGAGUUACCUUAAUAAGAUUGCACCUUCCAGGCAAGAGAACAUGUCUAAUGAAGAAUGCGAUAACCUUUUCUUCUUUGUCAAGCCAUUUAAACAAAAAUCCUUUUUCCUUAUUAUAUUUUUUGCGAUAUCUCAUAAAAUUCUUGAACAUCUUAGUUUUCCUUAACAGCUUGUUGUGAGGACAGUCAAAUAGAUGAGAAAAAUUUCCAGCGUUUUUCAACCCAGUAAUCUUCCACCAUGUGUCAUUGUUAAUGAUGAUGUCCACACCUUUUACACGAGAGUGGAUAUUUCAUCGACUUCUUUAACAUUGUGAAAGAAAACUUCUACUAAAUCAUAAUAGCAAUCACCCUUCAUUUGAAUAAACUUGUCCAGACCUUGAAAAUGAAGUAUCUCAGGAAAUGCAAAUUUCUCUUGUGUGAAUAGAGUCAGUUCAGCAAUUUCAUGUCUGACAACCUUUUUGAAUUUUCUCAUAUUCAGGAAUCUUUCUCUGGUGUUGUUAUCACUGAUCCAUCCAGAAGGAUUUGUUUCUCUUCUUACUACCAUAUGUCUCUUUCUAGGUCUUGAUGAUGAAGCAACCAUUUUCAAAGAAUGAGAAAAAGGUCUAUCUUGAAUCAGAAUAAGGGUUUUGUUUAUCUCUGUGUUUGAGUGCAAUAGACUAACACAACCAUAUAUAGAGAGACGCACCAAAGAUUUUCAUUCAACCCUCAAGUUUAAAUCCUAACGUUCAAAAAAAUGGAGUUUUAAAAACAUAUGCAAAACAUAAUCGAAUGAAUUAAUAACAUAGUCGACUAAGACACAUGAAAACAGAAUUUCAAAUCUUCUAGUAUUGGUUCUCUUAGAUUGAGCUUUGUAACCUAUUCCUUGCCUGUAUAUAGCUCUGCCAAAUGAUUUUAAUAUAGCAUUUAAAUUGUCUUAAGUAAAUUUAGCUAGCGUACUAGUCAAGUAAUUUAUCUUUUCAAUAUGACCAGAACAAUUUUCACAAGCUUUUUCUAGUGUAACAGUUUCAAUCUUAACAUUCUUAGCAGAUGACAAAGCUUCAUUUAACUCAUUUUCAGCAACAAGGUUGUUAAUUCUAUACUCAUAACCUCUUCUUUCAGAGUUUAGUCGAUUAACCUUGUAUUGUAGUUUAGUCGAUGCGAUUCUUUAAAAGCAUCUUGCAGCAGAUCAUACUUGAUUUCCACUGGUUCAUUUGAGAUGUCUGCAUCACUAUCAUAAUCUUCCCAUGUUACUCCAGUCAUGUAGUAGACGUUGGAUUCCUCCUUUUGAUCAGCAUCUUCAUCACUUGAGCUUUCAGAUUUUGUAUCCUCCCAAGCAAUGUAUGCUCCUUUUCUUUUCAUAUUUUGCCUAGAGGGAAUCUUUUCUUUUCUUUCUGCUUAGGCUUUAAUUCAGGACAAUCAGGCUUGAUGUGUCCUUCCUUUCACAUUCAUAACACUGGACGACAUAUUUACUGAAUCUAUUCUUUUUGCCUUGACCUGCAUGGUUAGUCAGUUGACUAUCAUUUUGAAUAACUCGACUAAAUUUCCUUACCAAUCAAGGUCAUCAAUUCUUUCUCGUCCAUGUUUGUUUCAGAGUUGUUCCUGCUUGUAGCUUUUAGAGCAAUGGACUUCUUUUCUUCAAUCUCCUCUUCAUCCUUCAAUCUACCCAGUUCCAGUUCAUGUUCACGUAACUUGCCAAACAAGGUAGCCAUGUUCAUCGUUGUGAGAUCUUUGGAUUCAGAUAUUGCUGUGACUUUUGGUUGCCAAUCUUUGUUCAACUGUGAGAUCUUGAUAUUGAUCUCUUCUUUAUUCUUAGCCUUCUUGACAUCAACUGGACAACUUUGUUCAUCCUUCCUUUUCAGAAACCUUGAAUUUAUUAUCCAACAAGAUUGAUCUUUGCAUUUCUGAACAAGAUUCUUCAUUUCGAGUUUCCUUGUAUUCCAAGUUUCCUGUUUCAAAAUAUUCAUAGAAACCAUCAGUUACAAACUUUGACUUCUUAUUGCAAGGUGUAGAUACAAAGUCAAUUUUGAAAUCAUAAGUCCUUUUUGAAUGCGAAACAUAAGCCAUCCCCAGGUUUAUAGUCGAAUAAAAGAAAAACAGAGUCGACUAGUUUUUCAAAUAUCUUAUGAAAACCAGCUUUAGUGCCAAUUGUUGGAAAACAGGUAGGCUUCUUUUCUACGACAAGAGGGGGGUGAAUUGGUCUUGUUUCAAAAAUAACUUCUUUUCGCAAUCUUGAAAACAAAGUAUGAAACUUUUUAAACUUUCUUGAAAUGUAAGUAUUGAAAAUUUGUAAGCAACAGAAAAACUUAGUUGACUGCGUGAAAAUUAAAGUCGACUGUAAUGUAAAAGAGAAAGGAUAGAGAAAAUCAAACACAGGUUUUUAUACUGGUUCGGCCAACAAUGCCUACAUCCAGUGUCCUUCCACCCCAUGAAGCAAAUGCACUAUAAUGGUUGCGGUUUUUACAAUAAGGAAUUUAUAGAAGACCUCCAUGUCAAAAAUAUAAAUCUCCUAUCUAACCCAAAACCAAACUAUAGGCAAAAAACCAACAAGACUUGCAGCAAGAAUCCCCUAUUCUGCAAUCUGCUAACCACUCUGAACAAUCCUCAGAAUGAACUAUCCCCCUGUAUCAUAACAGGUCCAAAACCACCAGUCUUCACGAAUGCCAAGCCGAACAAUCAAUUCAGCAGUCUUCAAGGAUGCCAAGCCUGACGUGAUCAAACGCAAAACACCUUCUUUGUGCAGAUGUUGAUCAACCAAUGUAUGCACAGAAAAUAUCCCUUAAGAAUCUCGUUCAAGAAAGAUCACCACCGUCUUCUUGGAGAAUUCUUGGAGCUUAGAGAAUUCAAUCUGAAAUUGAAAUGAAAUUGUUAGAUCAUCAAAAUUCUUCUGAACAAAUCGUGUUCAGCCUAUUUAUAGAUUUCUAUUAAUUAGACACAUUCUGAGUCGAAUAUGCUACUAAUACAGUCGACUGAAUUAUGACAGUUAUAACAGAACAGUCAACCAGGUAACAUACAGUCAACCAAAAAUAAAAAAACAUUUAAUACAGUUAACUAAGUCAUCAAUGCUCAACUAACUUUUAAAAAUAUAGCCAUUAGAGUGCAAGAGCAUAACAGAAUUUCAAAUCAGACAACAGAUACAGUCGAAUGUGUGGCGGACAUAGCCGACUCUCAACAUGUAAAACAUUUUGAAAUUCUUUUCUUCUCAAAAUAUCACACAACACUGAUUAUCAAAAUAUAUACAAAGAUUUUAACAUAGUCGAAUUCAUUAGUAAUAAUGUAUUUGACUUCACUAUAACUUGUCGCACAAUAAUAAGUUCAUAAAAGUGCUUGUGGUUUUCAUCUUUGAAACAUGUGCAGUAAAACAUUUGUAAUGAUGCAUUUGCACAUGGCACAUAAAGCAUAUAAACAUGUUCCAGAUAUAUAUCAAUCAAUCAACAUAGGAACAUGUAACAAAGUUCAUAAACAUGUUCAACAGAUAUCACAAUCAAUUAGCAUAAGAACAUGUAAUGCAGUAACAACAUGUGCUUGUUAUUAAGCAAUAUGUUGUCAUCAUCAAAAACUAGAUUGAUAUAGAAAUUGUGUUGUCAACAAUCUCAACAGUCGCCGUCUCCCUCGCCAUCACUGGCGCGACCGACAUUGCCUCCGUCAUCGUCCACGUCCACCACGGUUGCGCCGAAGAACGAAACUUUGACGUCUACGAGAAAAAGAAGGGAGUGAAGAGUAUUAGUGUGACUAAGGUUCAAUUUUAGGUCGAAGGACUUGUGUCAGAUAUUGAUGGAUGAGAAUAGAUGGAAGGGUUUCACACAGAGCAAUGCGAGGAUUAGGAAAAGGGUUGAUGGUGAGUUUAUCACUUUUGAUGGAUCGGUGACUAUUAUUGAUAUGUUAUAGCCGCUCCUACAGCCCACCUGUAGCCUUCCCUACAAGACAUUUAUAGCCUCCCAUACAGAUCAUCUUCUUCUAAUGCACACAAAGCAAAAGGAAGUACCUAUCCGUAGAUAGAACCAUGUUUCGCUCUCAACCACAAGUCAAAUUGACCCUAAACAUAACCAUUAACAUCAAUAUCUAAUUAUCAUCAUGUUCCACAGCUCCUCAGGCUUAAUUCACGUCCAUUCUUCAUCAACUUCAUCAUUUUUCACCAAAAUGCAUUGUGAUAAUCGAUUAUUACUUAAGAUAAUCGAUUAUCUCAGAGAAAUUUACCCAAAAACAUCAUACAGGAAGGGAUAAUCGAUCAUCAACCCAGAUAAUCGAUUAUUUCCGAAACCACACUCAAAACCAACAUGCAAAUAAUCGAUUAUAACUAAUGAUAAUCGAUUAUUGUUGAAUCGAAACACAUCCUCGACAUGGUUCAAGCAUUCAAACAUACAUACAUCAAUCCUAGAUCACGUGGAAACAUAGUUAACUCAUCAUACAUGCAUUCAAGCAUCUCAUACCCAUGUAAACAUACUUAAAAACAUGUAAUACAUCACUUGAAUCAUCAAGAUCCAAUCACUGACAUGUCACUUAAUGCUUGCUCAAAACAACAAAGUGUUUUUUGAUUUCCUACCGUUACGUAGCAAUUUUAAAACUUUGAUCAACCUUUUAAGAAAUUUUUGCAAAAAAUAUAUAUGACAAUAGUUGUUCAAAUAACCAUAGUCAUAUGUCAUUCCCUGAAAAAAAAGGUCACAAUUUUGAAAUUCUAAUCAAUCUUUUUGCCUCAAUUGUUUAGGGAACCGCGAGUUAAUACACCAAAUUUGCACUAGUGAAUGGUUGUCGUGGAGUAUUGUUUUUGACAAAGGAGGUUCGUUUCCAAUGAGCGGUGUGUGUCACUUUUUCAAAUAUGUCAUAACAAUGGUGACAAGUUCAUAAGGAAGCUUUGGUGGUAGGCGAGGAGCACUUCUCCCUUCCUCUUCUAACGACACUUGUGGUGCUUGUUGGUAGAGAGGAAGUGAAGAUGAAGAAGCUUGGAUGGAGAAGAAGAAAAAUUGUGGAAAUAAUUGUUGUGCAUGGAUGGAGAUGAAGAAAUGAAUAUAUAUUGACAUUGAACGUGAGAUUUAAAAAGGAAAUUUGUCGUUUUUAUAUCGACAGAUUUAUCUGUUGAUAAUAAAUUAUAUAAUUAUCAAUAAAAUUUAUAUGUAAUACAUAUUUUAUUUAUAAACAAAUUUUAUUAAUAAUUUUUUUAAAAUAAAUUAAAUUUGUAAAUAAUUAAAAUUUUAAAAUUUAUUGAUAAUUUAUAUUUAUCGAUAAAUUGAUUUGCAUUUAUAAAAUUUUGUGGUAAUCAUGAUUUUUUGUAAUGUAAAAAAAAAUCAUAAACACAAAAGUAAAGACUAAUUUUAAAAAUCAAAUGUUUUAAAUAUGAAAUAUAGUUGUCAUCGGCACAAACCAAUAACUUGUCAUAAGGGAACAUAAAAAGAAAAGGGAAAGAAAAGAUUAUAGAAAAGAAGAAGUAGAUCGAAAAUGAAACAGCGGUGUAGAAUGAUGAGAAAAUGAGGUAAACCGAAAAUACAUGCAGGGGAUGGGAGGGUUAUAGAACAAAUCAGUGUGGUGGAGGAGAUGUGAGCAUAGUAAAAAAAAUAUAAAGGAUUUCGAUGAUUGUUUAGGAAGAGUUAUAAAAAAGACAGAUGAUGGUUUAGAGACACAGAAAUGAGGAUAUUUUGAAACAUUUCACGUGCAUUGAUUUUAAAAUAAUUAUAAUGAAGGUAAAAAAUAUUAAAUUUUAAAAUCAGAAGUUAAGAAGAUUGAUUAAAAAGAUGACUACAAAAAUUUUUAAAAUUAUCGACAGAAUUUUACCGAUAGACAUAAAUCUAUAGAUAAAUUUGAAUUAUUGACGAAUUUUACAAAUGAAAAAUUUAUUGAUAAAAUCUAUCAAUAAAAAAGCAGGAAUUGUCCCACCUAUUCUUUUACUAAUCGAAGAAAAAAAUUUGUCAGUAAAAUCCGUGAGUCAUGUAUAUUUUACUUACCGACGAAUUUUUCUUCAAUAAUUACAAACAAAAUAAAAUUAUGUCAAUAAUAUAUAUUUCAUUUUUACCAAUAAAUUUUUAGCCAUCGAUCUGUCAGUAAUUUUAUUUUACCGAUAAAUUUUAUACAUUACCGAAGAAUUUUUACCAUCAAUAAUAUUAAUUUUCUUGUAUGUUUUCUUAAUUAUAUUUUUUUAGUUUUAUUUCAAUAUUAUACGUGUCGUGAACUACAAUAAUUAUACUAUACUGUAUACAUGAAUAAAUAUAAGUAUAGGUAUAGGAAAAACGUUUAGAAAAAAAUAAAAUUAUGUAUUUUUUAUUUUAUUUUCACCACUUUUUAUAAAUAUGUAUAUAAAUAUUUCGUGUAUUUUAAGUUGUAAUAUUUAUUAUAUUGAGAUUCCACGUUCAUGAGUUUAUACUGUUUAUAGAUUAUAUUUUGUAGGAUGUUAUAUUAUAUAUUCAUGAAAUAUAUGAGAAAAUAAUUUUUAAAAUAUAUAAAAUUGGACAAAAUAUAAAUAAGAUAUUAACUAAUAAUUUGUUACAAAUUUCUUGUCAUGUUUACGUAAUGCUGAUAAAAACUUUACUUAAAUCUUUAUGGUUUUUUUUCCUACUAUUCUUAAAUGAAUAUAAUAAUAUUUUUUUCAAAAAAUUAUCUUAGUUUAAAAUAAUGUUAUUAACUAUUUACUUAAGUAACUCAUAUAUGUGAUUUAUCCUUGUGUAUAAAUUUUCAAAAUUAAUAUUGAAAUAAGCAUUUAAUUAAUCUGAUAACACUUUGUUGAACUCAAACAAAAUUAUACUAGUUGAACUUAGAUAACUCAAUAAAUAAAAUUUUAAUUUUUGUACGAAGAUGAGUCCAUUUUUGUAGUAUUAUUAAAAAUAAAAAUUGAAAAUAAAUGUGCUAUAAAAGAGCAUAUUUUAAACUAUUUUUAAUUCAGCUGGACGGAUAAUUAACUUUCGUAAGAUGAAGGCUACAAAGGUAUAUUUACACAACUGCAACAAGUGAAAGCUUAAAAAGAACGAAUGUGUGUUACAAGUCAAUCAACUCUGAGAAUUUCAUACAAUGAGUACAUAGAAGUUGAAGCUAAUCAAAAUUGAUCAAAAGUGAUCGUAGAAGCAUAAUGUGAGACGCAAUAAACGUAACAUGUACAAUAGUUAAAUUAUUAACAGCGCUGAACAAUCCUAAGACUCCUAUAAAAUAUAUAGAUAACAUUUGAAACAAACCUAAAAUUGAUCGAUAUUGUUUUCUUCUAUUUCAUGAAUAACUUCCAACUCUAAAUUUUGAGGUCUUGCUGGAAGAACGGUAUUUGUUGUAGAAGAACCAGAAAUAUGAAAAGGAGAAGCGGGUGCUACUAAUUCACAUCCAUGCCCUUCAAGCAUUUGUACCACAGUUUUCAUGGAAGGACGAUCUGCUGGGUUCCAUUGAAUGCACCAAAGUCCUACAAUGGCAAGUUUCUUGGCAAUUUUAGCAUCUCCCUCGUCCUCAAGGCUAAUUUGCACAUCCCUUCCUUCCAACAAGUUGUGGAUCCACUCCGGGUACAGAACUUGGAAACUGUCCUCAACUGAGACAUUGGUAUUCUUUCUUCCUCCAAUCAUUUCUAACAGCAACAUUCCAUAGCUGUAAAUGUCAGACUUGUAAGACACAUUACCAAAAUUCCGAGAGAAAACUUCAGGGGCAAUGUAGCCCAAAGUUCCCCUGGCUGCAGUCAUCGACACCGUGCUCUGAUUUUUUGGACACAAUUUGGCUAGUCCAAAAUCAGUGAUUUUUGGGACAAAAAGGUUAUCUAGCAAAACAUUGUGAGGAUUGAUGUCAAAAUGAAGAAUUCUAUGAUCACAGCCGAGGUGGAGAUACUCAAUUCCUCUGCCAACACCAAGAGCAAUUUGUUGCAACUUCUCCCA
Molecule: long non-coding RNA, 84278 nt
Filed under: Vigna radiata
Lineage: Eukaryota; Viridiplantae; Streptophyta; Magnoliopsida; Fabales; Fabaceae
Description: long non-coding RNA (VRAD_LNC004930)
Source: RNAcentral